GGGGGGGGGGGGGGGGGGGGGUAGCGAGCGCACCAGGCAGCCGGAAUGUAGAAGGCUCAUUACUGCAUCAGAAGGCUCAUUAAACAUUGCUUCAGCAUGAAUAAUGAAAAGAACUACAGUAUUACAAAGAAAUAUGUAUGUCACAAAAAAGUAACUCCAGAACACUAUUCUGGGAAUGAGGUCCCAAAUUCAACUUAGCGGACACGCUCUUUGAUUGGAGGCAGUCACAUAUCUUGGACACGCUCUUUGAUCACAAUAAACACAUCCAUGUGUGAUGUGUGUGUGUAUUGGGCCAGUUGGUAUGGUAUCCCUCUAGCUCCAGGAAUAUGUAUUGGGGCUUGUUGGUAUCGCUCUAGCUCCAGGAAUUUUGAGAGCUGCUCAUCGUCGGGUUCGGAAAUUCUAGGAUCUGGAUACUGGACUCAUUAAAAUUAUUGGUUAAGUAAUUUUAUUACUCCCUCCGUUCAUUGUUGUGGCUUUUUAAAUUUAUAGAUUUUGUUAUGCACUUAGAUAUACCAUAUGCCUAGAUACAUAAUAAUAUUUAUGAAUUAAAAAUCAAAAUAACUUAUAAUUUGAAACGGAGCGAGGGAGUACUAUUUUGGAUUAAACACAUAUAUUUAAUAUAGUUUACUUAAUGCUACAAAUUUCAAAUCCUACGUGGAUCUCGAAGCUCCAGAUAUGCCAAACACGAUCAUUUUAUUCUUUUCAAUAAAUUCCAAAUCCUGCACGGAUCUCAUAGCUGGACCUAUGUCAAACUAUCCCUUAAGAUAAAAUUAAGUAAUUGCGAGAACUUUCAAACCCUGGUGGAUAGGUUUUACAACAAAAGCUAUGCUCAAUUUGCAAUGGAGGUUGCUUAUGAAAUUCUAAGCUGCACGUGUGAAACAAACCAAAUUCGCCAAAGGAAAUUUUGAUCCUUGUACCUCUAUGUCCUAGGAUACUCUGGUUGUCAUAUACAAAUCCUCUUGUAGCAUGCCACAUUUCUUUGCAAUGUUGAAAGCAUCUAAACCCCGAAUUUGGGUUUCGGUACAGGCUAGAAAAGAUUUGUGCUGGCGGCUAAAAGGGCUUUAUGCUGGCGGAUCGAGCACCCGUCAGCAACUUUGAGCCAGCACAAAUAGCGGUCUGUGCUAGCGGGUGGCAUAACCAACCGCCAGCACAUUGGCAUUUUGUGCUAACGGUUGGUUAUACCACCUACCAGGAAUAUUUAUUUUCCCAUCUAUAUAUUAUUUCCCAUGAUUUAUUUAUAAUUUAUAUUUUUUUGACAGUUUGUAGCCGCAAAAUUUAAAUAUGUAUCUCCAACCACGUUGACUUAAAUAAUAAAUAAUUCGUAUUAUUAAAAACUGCAUCAUACAUAAUAGAUAAUUCAUAUUAUUCAACAAACUUGAAUAAUAAAUAAUUCACAUAAUUCAACAAUUGGAAUAGAGCUACAUCGGCGGUGCCUUCGUCCAUCAACGAAGGCGUGUGCAUUCGUCCGCCGCCAACACGCCAUUGGAUCAAAGAAUUCUCCGUCCUCAUGACAAAUCUCCCAUUGAAUGAACCUCGCCAUGUCCCUACAAAUGUUGACGAUGCCUCUAUCUUUAAGCACUGCAUUGCGAGUGUUGAUCUUAGACAUCUACAGGUAUACAAUAAAUGGAGAUUAGAAUGUAUUACCAUUAAGAAGUUAGCACAUGGCAGUGUAUAAGAGACUUACGUCUUCGGGGUUCGUCUCAGGGUGCCGCAUCUGCAGGUAUACAGUAAAUGAAGAUUAGGAUUGUUGGCGCUGAAAAUCGGCCGAUGACUCUCAGCGUCGAACACACGACCCGAGAGAAUCUGCUUAACUCCUGUUCGGGUUAUUGCCCUAGUACGGUUCACGCGGCGUGCCAGUCAAUCUGACCUGUUGAUUGACAAGGAGAGAAAAAUAUUAAAUUCCAAGGUCUCGAUCAGCUAAAGUUCCAAUGUGUCUUGAAAAGCGAAUCGGCCGAUUUACUGUAGGGAUGACCGGCUAUAAAACAACCGAUAAUCACGUAGCAAUUAUAAGGAAAACUACCAGAGCAACCUAAACAACACUACAAAAAGCAACACUUGGAAUAGAUUUAAUCGGCUAUAUGAUGAUAAAGGAUAAAAGUAAUAAAAGCCGACAGUUCGUACCUCAAGCUGGAUAAUUGGUGAUAAAAACUAAAAUAACAGGUAAAACCUAUGAUUCUAGUUGAUAUCGAUAACUGGUGAAUAAAUCUAAAUGAAACAAUAGCGAUGCGCCCGAAGUUAAAGCUUAGAUAUUACUUGAUAAACGCCGAAGGAACAAUCUCCGAAAAUUUACGGAAGUUGCUGGUAAACUUGUUUUAAGUGUAUAAAUUUUCAGAUUCGACUAUUCACCCCCCUCUAAUCGACAUUUUAGAUCCUUUCAGUGCCGUUAGCGGCUUUCACCGCAGUGCUGUUUGUUUGCCAGAACACAUGCCCAGUAGCCUUUUUCACUUGUUAAGGUGCUGCUACUCGUUUUUAUCCCCGGUACUGCUAUUUUCGGCAUCUCGUGAACUAUAGCACAUGUUUCCUUCUCAAAACACUUGUCCGGUUGCAUGAAUAGAUUCCCAUGUUUGGGAUGUGCAAAUGCAUAGGGAUCGGAAUAACUGAUUUCUUGAUUUAAUCAGAAACGAUUCUCUAUGAAAAACUGCAAACUUCUUAAAGCAUCUAUAUAUAUACUCCUAAGGAAAGUGAAAGGAUGGAUGGCAUUGGAAUUUAUGCUAUUCCAGAUAUGACCGUACCUUAGCAACUGGAAUUUGUUGCUACUUUAGAGCAGUGGAAGGUAGUGUGUGGUUAAGUAAAUCUCCUGUAACAUAAAAGGUCAUGGAAAGUGCAUCAGAACCCGUCACUUAUUUUGGAAUUUUAUAGUAAAAGUAAACACAUUGAGGAAGUAAUUAUCGUAUUCAAGAGGUGAUGAAUAAAAUCAGGUAUGUUUCUUCAAUUUAUUUGUAUAGAACUAACGUGGAUGGAGGUUCACUCACUAAAGUAUGGAAUUAUUUCCUAAAAAUGUUAGAUACAUGGAACUUUAUUUUAUUGAUUGAAAUGUUUCAGCCAAGUGAGAGAUGUUCGGUUUUUAUGUGGCUUUCAACAUUAUUCAUAUACUAUGGCUAUUGUUCAACUCCAUGUGGAAUUAUUCGAAUACAUUUGAGAGGGAAUAAGUGAUGUGGAAUUCAACUCGAGGAAAUGGUACUUGAGGUGCCGAGGACGUUUGUGCUGGAAUACACUAGAUGAAUUAAUUGAGAUCAACUCUAUUGGAAUAUUUCUUUAUGUACGUACAUAUUUGACCCGGGUACAACACGACGGAAGAGUUGGGAUUGUUUUGAUGGAUGUGUUAACGCACAUGAUCAAAUUGUAAUUGAUCACAUAUACACAAUUGAUCAUGACACAUGACUCACACAUGUGUGCUAGGGACUAGUAUAUAUUUUAAACUCACCAAACUAGCAUGUCUGAUUGUGGUUGGUGACAUGAUUUAGGAUAUACGGAUUUUUCGGAACACUAGAGGAGUUUAUAAAUAGAUCCCUAUCCUUUAGCCUCGUUAUGCAUUGUGAGCGACACCACGGAUAAGAUACUCGAUUUCAAUUUUUCAUAACAACUCUCCGUUCACCUAUUUAAUCGAUCAUUCAUUAUUUACAUCAUAUUAGUGGUUUGUGUCUGCUUUCUCGAAUAUAUACAAUCCGGCCCUUGAUGUACAUAACAUGUUAGUACCUAGUGUCAUGUGCCCUGUUUGUACUUCUUUUCUUGAUAAAUAUAGUUGCGUUUUGUAUUGUCCACUAUUUCCGGAAACCAUCUCAUGAUGUGGAACUGUAUGCACAUCGAUCCUUCCCACCAACACCUGUACAUGAUUUCAAGAUUCGUCUGAUCAAUUUUUUUGAAUGAAAUACAAAGUUAAGCUGGUGAAUCUGUGUUAGCCCCCACAUAAUUUUGUUUUUCCGCAUGCAAGAAAACACUAUUUUUUUAAUGAAAUACAAAGGUAAGCUGGUCAAACUAUUAACACCCCCCCAAAAAAAAAUCUUGCUUUACCGCCUGCAAGAGAACACUAAAUCAUUUUUAUAACCUAUUUUAGUUAUUUUUUAGAAUGUUGUUUCCUAUUUGCGGUACAGUGUAGGACUAUGGGGAAUAUAUCUGAAACUGGAAACUGCAUAGACAGUGUCUGUUCUUAAACAAUGAGCUAAGUUUGUGAUGUCUUUUUUUUCACAGAACAUUUACUACUGUAUGCAUAGUUUUGCUCAUUGAAAAGAUAGAUAGGAAAUUAUUUUAUAUAAAUGUUAAUUGUCUUUUAUUUUCUGGGCACCAUAAGAUAUCUCAAGCUAAUAUUUUUUAUAUCCUAAUGUCAGCUAAUAUUAGUGCAUAAUCACAGAACGAAGUGAAAUAUUGUAGUAGAUACAUACAUGCAUUAAUUAUUCAGAAUUUCAAUGUUGUUUCAGCAUGAAAGCAAUCGGUCUGUGUCAAUGCGAAAAUCUCUAUGGGGCUCAAUUCAAAUAGAUGCCUCUGCAGUUUAAAGAUUGAAUUGUUUUUCUGGUAAACUUAGACUUCAUACUUUCCCCCAAUAACAUAUGAUAGUGUAUUUUAAUUCCUCUUAGUACAUAGAGUGAUAGUUCUAUGAAGCCAUUGUACCUUGUUGUCACACCCAUGUUGUAAUGCUCUUGACCAUAACAUCAUUUGGUUUAGGCGCAAAUCAUGUUAAGCACCCAUCUCCUUUGGGAGGCUAACAUCUAGGAAAUACAAGCUGCAAAAGAAAGUGAUACAGAAUUACUAUGUUUAUCAAACUAACCAAAUUACAUCCUCAUGCUACUUCAUGCAGUUUGAGAUGUCUGCAUAUGCUUGUUCCAUAUGCUAAGAGCGUGACACACCUCAUUGACAUAAAAGCCAUGCCCACAAAUACGGCUUUAACAGCAUCCUUGCGUCCAGCAUAUUCAAAUGCUAAUGGUAGCAUUUCAUACAAUGUUAGAAAAGCCAUCACUCCUCCCACUACAAAAAAAAAUCAGUUGAGCGAAUACUUUUAAUUUUUUAAAGAAAUGAUUUUUAAAAAAAAAUGCAGUUACCUAAUCCAAGUAGACCUUCCAAUAAUUCAGGGUUCAAGUUGCUUGGGAAUAGGUAUGCUGCAAGAAAAUUUGGUCUCACAUUCAUUGCAUUGAGGUACAACGUAACAUAUGAACUCAAUAAGUUUUCAAAAUCAUGACGUGUUGCCAAUUGUAAAGUUUUAACCUUUGGAAUCAAACUUACCUUCUAGUGUUACGGAUAACAAUAAACACUAAUUAAAUUAUCCCUAAGCUCCAUGUGUAUGUUAACUGAACAUUAUUACGAAUUUAAUUUCCUUCACUAGUGCAUAGCAACAGAAUGUUCUAGUUAAUAAGGGAAUUUUUCAAUGCGUCUCUUGCAUCAUACUGAUUUAAGCAAUCUUUCUAAGACCCAGAUAGUAACCACUAACCAUUGGUAGAUUAGUCAUCACUUAUCUCUAUAUAUGCUGUUGACGACGCAUUCAUUUGGAAUUUGGAAUCGGGAUUACAGAAUGCUUUGCCGCUCUUUAGUUUAUAUUACUCCAAAAACUUUAGGUCUUCAUUGGAAUUAAGAAUAUGUUAAGUAUAACACAAAGGUAUUACCAUGUUGUGUUGUGUCGUUAAACCCCAUGUCUGUUUUAAGUCAAUAAUAUAAUAACAAAAGUUGUGCUUAUUAUGGUUUAAGGUAGGCUUGGUUCAGAUAUUAAUUAAACUGACGGUUUGUGCAAAGUACUGAUGAAGAAUAACUUAAAACAGUCAACCUACCCACAAUAACUACACCUAGUGGCUCUGCAAAGCCGGAUAGUGUUGCUAGUUUGAAGGCUUGCCAUUUGCUGCACCAGAGACAUGAAAAGUUAGUAUUGCCAGAAGUGUAAAGGUUAUUUGUUUAUUUUGCAGAUAAGUACCAAGUCAUAUUUGUUUGACCGUUUUUCAAACAUUCAGUGGUUAUUAUAUGAUAGAAUAUGUGGUUCAGCACUUUGUUACAACAUAUACAAAAAUGAAUUUCUGUAAAUAGAUAUAUAGUCAGUACCUGCAAGUGGCAAAGUACGCUGGGAGAGCUACUGAAAUACCCUGUAGAUGAGUCAAAGCAGCAACAGCAGAUAUUAGCACAUUUGAUUUGUGUUGUGAACUGAACUGUGCGGUGACUGGUGAGAAGAAAUAAGCUUACUGCUUGUAUAACUAUGUCCAAAUUCACCACAUUGUAAUAACUAACAAGUGUAUUGGAUACUAAUAAGGCCCUAUUUGGCGAGGCUUCUUUCGGUUUCAGCUUCACCUAUUUUGCGCAAAUCGAGGCACCGUAGUGUGAAGCUUUUUCUAAGCCGGGAUUACAAUGAACUAGAAGUUGGGUGAAGCUAGUUUUUUGAUUCAGCGGCUUUGGCUUCACAGGUGAAACUGCUUUGGAAGAAAUCCUCACAAACGGCCCUAAUAUAUAUCCAAUGUUUCUUUUGGUCACAAAAACUAGGAACUACAUGCUUCCAUGUUUGCACUUUGGAAUGGGAAUAUAAAGUUUCAUCUAUACCCACCAAAAGCAAUAGAAAGGCUGUGGGGUGACAUUAUUGAGAACGGGUGAGGUGAAAACCGUUUCGAGUUCCAUUCAAAAGCCAGUGUAGAGUCAAGAUUACCUCUGGAAUGUAGUGUAGAGCUAUUGCAAGAGCCAAGUUCAAACCGACACGGAAGCCCUGAUAGGUGGAUAAGAGAAUAGUUAGCUGUACAGCAUUAGAUAUUUACUAUUGAUAAUGAAAAUUCAGGUUCGUACUUGGACUCCUUUUGUCCCAGUUUUAAAGCCUGGGCUCAUUACAUAAGCCAGAAAAAGGCAGGUAAAUGCAUGUUUUGGGUUAUGAAGCUGAGCUUCAGAGAAGCCUGGCUCCUCUUUAGCAUGCAAUAAACAACUCAUAAACAAGGAAGUACAGGUCUACAGCUCAGGAAAAUUGGGCCUCAUUCAUAUUUUGAGAAUGUUAAAGGUAGCUUUUCACCAAUGACGGACAAGAAUUGAGCAUGUCUAUUAAGCUACCCAUCGUCCAGGGAUUAAAAUAGUUUCUUUUUAACUAAAAAUUAUUAUGAAAUGGGAUGGAAUGCGAUUGAUAUGACUAACGUGAUAUAAAAAUACAUGUGAAAUAAUAUAAGUAUAAAUGCAUAUAGUUGCCCAAAAAAACAGUAUUUGGUUUCAUUGAAUCUUGUAAUCAUCAACUGAUAAUUCAAUAGAAAAAAAGGAUGAGUAUUCAUGAGUAACUUAUUCAGUAAAUACUGAAAAGUUCAGUUGUAACUGAUUGUCAGAAAUAGUUCAACACUGACCAUGUGUAAAGAAAUAUCAAGUUAUCUAAACGUGGGAAACAAUGAACAAUACCUUUGUUGUUCCAAGAAAUGCAGCUGUACCCACAGGGAAGUUUUGCAAACUCACACCAGCAACUGUUGAUUUUUUUUUUUGAAUGCAAUCAUUAAGACCAAUUAAACUUGCAGGAAGAGGCAUAUUAUUACACGUAUAUAUGCACAUUGCCCUCUCUAGAUCAUUUAUUUAACAAUGAGGAAUUUCAUAAACUUGAAUCAUCAUUGUAUAUUUAUCGUGUAAUCAUGUGAUGUCCAUGAAAAAAUAAUGAUUAUAAUUUUGGUGUUUAAUCAGAUCCACCAAAAUAGAAACUAUCAACAUUAUAUCUUCAUUGAACAUGACCUGAAAAUUUACUGCAGGUAUCACUUGAUAAAUUAUAUUUACACGUACAACAUGACCUAUAAAGAAGUGAUGUUAUUCAAAACACUAGUAUGACAUAAUAAUUAUUAAUGAUAUUUAUUUUUACAGCACACGUGGUAUAUUUAUUUGCUUUCAUCAGUUUCAUAUUCCGUUUCAAGGUUGAACAUAAUAAAUAUAUGGAUACUGAUAGAACUCCUAAAUUGUUGUAUACAAAGACAUCAACAAAAUAUACAGAUAAUUUUGUUAGAAACUAUAUUCUGUAUAAAUCCAUCAAAGUAUGUUAGGCAUGUUCAAGGCUUACCAAUUGCUGUGACAACUACACUAAAGAUAACUCUUCGACGGUGUCGCAUCAUAAGUUGCUUUCCUGCUAUGCUGCCCCCAACCGUCUUUUAUGAAUAAAAUAUUGAGCAGAAAAUCAUAUGUUAGCUUUCCUAUUAAAAUGUGACCGACCAGUGAACUAAAUUAAGUCGAGGGAAGCUGGACCUGUUUGCCAUUUUCAUCUUCCAAAGUGCAAUCCGGCUCAGGGAAAACAUCAGCAAUUGUUGAAAAUAGCAGUGCUCCAGCAAAAAACUACAAUUCACAAGUAAAAAUGUUAAGAAGAGGUGGUUAUAAAUAAUGCCCAACAGAAUAUUUUGCAUUUCUUACCCAAAGGUUUCCUUUCAGAAAACCAAUCGCAUUGACAGCAUCAUAAGCCAAGUCAAAGAAAGACAUGCUCAGCAUUAGUCCAGUAGCAAAGCCCUACAAAAUUUUUGUUAUUCUUUGAACGUAACCCUAUGGGGAGUAGUUAGUUAAUUAGUAAAUAGGCAUAGCAUCAACCUGUAGCACCCCGAGUGUUUUGUUGUUUGGAGCACGAUUGAGUAUAGCCAACAGUGCACCUGGUGAAGAGUAUGCAAGUAUUAUUGGGAAAAAAAAGCAUUACGAAAAGGGCAGCUGCUUGAGGUAUAAUAAUUUAAUUAACAUCUUGCAUUCAGUGUCUGCCUAGCUGGAUUAUAAAUCCUGAGCUUCUCCAAAAAUGAAUGUACAACUCCUAUUGUUAUCAAAAGGCUUAUGGCUACAUGUAGUACCAUGAAACUUACUCUUGAGGAAAUUCCUGCUCAAAAUAUUUGUCCUUAUUGUUGGCAUGCAUGAGUAAAUAAUGUACUGCAACUCAUGCCAUCCUAGUUAUAUAAUGCAGAGAAUGAGAGAGGAAUUGAAGUACCAAGUGAGGUGCUUAAGCCGCCAACGAGGGAGAGAGUCAGAGCAACAGCAACUUUGGGAUCCAUGUAUAAUUCCCUUUAACUUGCAGAUGAGCUGUAGCGCUUAAUUGGGAGCCAAACCGUGAUGUGAUGAAGGAACUGAAAAGGCUGCUAUAGAAGAAGAGAAGUAGUGGAUGACAAAGGGUGUUUGGAUUUGGGAUGGAGAUGUGUUUAUAUAAAGGCCAGGCCGUGGUGGUAAUGACGAACCAAACCAACUGAUGAAGAAAUGGGAGGAAGGACAUCAUCAAGUGGGGCAGGAGGCUCAUACAGUGAUGGAUGACGCUAGCUUGUUAUCUUGGAAUGACUUUCUCUGUGUCUUUGUUCAGUUCAACCGAGGGGGUCAAGUUUGGAAUGACUUUGCAUGCAUGAUAGCCUAAUUCUCAGACACAAGUAGUGGUGGUUAAGGUAUGCCUGCACUGCAGGCAAGGUAAUUAUAUUAAGAAAGGUCUUUAAUUUAAUUCGGCCUUCAUCAUUCGAUCAUAUGCGUGCACAUAUACAUAUCAUUCAUAAAUGGACUUGAACCAUAUUUUGACCAAGGAAUAAGCCUUAGAAAUAUAUUUUUAUUUUUACCAAUUAAUGCAAGGAAUAGGAAAGGUACUAGAUGCUUUGCCUAAGCAAAAAGGGCUUGCGUGUUUGUCUGUGUCCUCCCGCCCGGUUGCCCUUUUAGGUUGGGUCUCAUGUCAUCACGCACCCAGCUGCAGCUGCUGUAUGAGAUCACGGUUUCAUGCAGCUUUUUCUAUUCUACUAGUAUAGUUAAAAGAUAUUUACAAAUAACAGUAAAACUGCCAACCAAUACUAGGUAUCCUAUACACGCAGCACGAGAAUAGCUAGUACCUGUUUUUCCAGGAAAAAGAAAGAGAGAAAGAAAGAAACCUUGUUUAAUACUAACAAAGACCAAGUGAAUCUUUAGCUACAUAUUGUCAGUGUAGUAGUUCUGCAACCUCUGCCCGACGAGAUAGCGCUCAUCCCUUAUCGAAUCGUGGAGCCUGACGACGAGCCUGCAGAGUACUUUGGCUAUAUAACAGAGCACACACAUGGCAAGGCUCCCUAGCCAUGCAAAACGAAGCACUGCAGAGUUCACGGGAGCAGAGUAGCCAAGUACUGGGGCAACGACUUUUGCGAGCACAUAAGGAACACAGACAGCAGACAGGAGCUUCACGAUCAUUGGCAUCAAAAUAUCUCGCAGCACCCACAUUGCCCUGAGCCCUGAAAACCCAUCCUCCCUUGCCUGACUUAGCUUCCUAUCCCACCUUUCAUCGAUGAAAUAGGCUAGGAAAGGGGCAACCCUUGUCCAGCGAACCUUCAGAAACGAUAAAACCAAAGUAGUUGCAUCGCUAAUUAGUGAACCUGAUUAUAACCCAAUCAAAUAGUAAUAAUAUGCAUAAUUAGCUACAAACCACCUUACAGGUUAGCAAACAAUUUUGUUGAUCCAAAAGUUUCAAGCUACAAUAUCAGGAAAGCAACAAGAAAAGUUACUGCUCACCAACUUAGUCCAGAAUUUCAGCAAUUGCAACCCCAGGAACCAGGUGCAGAAGAAAUCAAGAACUGGAACUUCAUUGUAGGGUGGCCCAAAGGGUGAUAUCAGCAGAUAAUCAACCAGCAAUCCGAUCAGAAAGGGAAUGAUGACAACCUGACAACAGAUAGAAAGUCAAGUCACUGAGCUGAAUCAACCAGAAGCAGAAAACUAAUAAUGAAACCACCUCGACUAACUCACCCAUAGGAACAAAAGCGGAGAACUCUUCAAAGCAGUUGUACCCCAAUUGCAGACAAUAGAAGCCAGAAGGCGUGUUCGCCCAGACAUCACGUAAGCAAAGGCAUCUCUAGAGGCAGCAAUAAUAGUUGACAAGAUGCAAAAUCCGACAGCAAAUGCAAAAAUAUCUGAGCCAAAAAGUUGCACAAGUAAGCUCAAACAGUUUAACAUAUGAACUUAGUCCACAAAGCAAGUCUAGUGAACUUCAGUGUACAAUCAUUACCAUUUGACUUCAAAGCACCUGCUACUGGCACCUGAGGGAUGGCAAACAACAAUGCACGUCCAACUGAGACUGGAGCAACAAGUAGAGCAGCAUUGAAUAUCACAACAAUAAGCCACGCUAGAACCAUGAGUAGCACCAUAUGAACAGCAGCAGAUCUCCUGGUACAUCAUGCCAAAAGGGGGGUAAAUGUUCAAAACAAGCUCUGUGCCAGAUUCCUCUGGAUAUGUAACAUUUGUUAAUUGAGUGGUGCAAAGUGGAUGAGAACAGCAAAUAAACAAGAUAUUAGGAGAAAAUACAUAUUUUCCCCAAGAUUAUCAUCAUUUAUUAAAAAGCUGGGAAGCUAGAGUGCAUGCGACUAAAUCUGAAGUCUGAACAAAACCAGUGGAGAAACAGUGUAAAUUUCAAACUACAUUAUAAUAUAUCGAGGAAGCCAAUGUUUGGCUGGGGAAGCCUACAGUUCAAAAGGGAAUUUUUCUAAUCUCCAGAUCUAAAGAGGCUUUCAGUGCAUUGAAUGGGAAUUAUCUAAUCAGAUUGCGAAAAUCUUCAAGAUGAUGCGGUGCUCACUAGUGCUUCCUUAUACACUCAAGAUUUAGUAUAGAAAGAUUAAGAUUGCCAAAGGCAUGAAAUCCAUAUAUAAAAACUAUUAGCAAUUUGGGAUAAAAGAUCCUUUUAUAAAAAGAUGCAAUUUAGGUACUUUUUUUCCUUUGACCGCAUAGGUACUUCUAUUGAUACAUAUGACUAUUUUGACUAAUCCAGCUCUGACAUAAACAUAAUAACACAUUACUUUGGCCAUUGAAUUUUUUGAAGGAAAAAAAACUCAUGUUACUAACUGUGCAUAUGUGAAUCUAAAUGGAAGUACAAGCAGUCGAGUAUAUAGUUAGUACAUAUUUCCUGAAUGAACAAAUAGAAAUGGUCAGACACCAAUCUAUAUCAAGCCAGAGGAAAGAAUUAAGAAUAAAAUUACAGCAUUGCUACUAACACUGUACAAACAGAUGGGGUGCAUACCUUUUGUCCUUAGCCUCAGCAGUCCUACCGUGCUGAUCUUUUGGUAUGACACUAUUCCCAAUCUCGGAUUGACCAGAGUCAUCAGGCUGAGCAAUCAAUAAAUCGGACAAACCAAGAACCUGUCCAGUAGUGGCAAACAAAUACCACAGUACCUUCUGCACAAGCACACCAGGCUGAAGGUAUUUCAGUGCAUUGCAAAGUAGAAACUUCAGAAGAAGAACACCAGAUAGUAACUCUGCAUAGUUCCGUGCUGCUUGCCAAAGUACUGUGCCCUGAGUUGGAGGAUCAAAGUAGCUGCAAUUUGCAAGCAUAAAAUAAAUUAACAAAUGAGGUGAGAUGCCAAAAGACUGACAAAUACCUUUUGUCACAAUGAAAAGCUAGCAUGGAUAACUUACGUGAUGUCUAACGGGAACACAGUAGGUGCCAAAUGAAAAGCAAUUUCAACAGGGACAAAAAUGACCAUUGCAACAUAGAUAACGCUGAGAAAAAGACCCGGCAGAAUCUUGAAAUAAAACUUGCAGAAUGGUUCCCCUAUCUUGAUUUGGCCUCCAGUAGUGUGGACAAAAGGGGCCCUAACUCCUAGCCUGAACACCUAUUGACACGCAAAACACAUGCAUACCGCUGGUUAAUUUCUGAAACAACAAAACAACAUGCAUACUGACAUGCUGAACCAAGAACCACAAUAUGACAUACCGGGUGAAGAAGACUUGAAAGUGAGGAAUGCAGCUUCAAACAGACGCAUCCAAUAAGCCAGUGAAGGGCAGUAGAAGCAAAUGAUGAAGCAAAUAGAAGUUGGAGCUUCUGAGGUACUUUCACCCCAAACAAUUUUGAAGUGCAGAUAUCAAGCAACCAGCCAAAGAACAAUGGGCAUAUCACAAGUAUCGCUGCAAGGUUAAGAGAAACAUUGGCUACACUUACGAUCCCCCAGAAGAAUUGCUGCAAGAAACUCCAUGUCCUGUCGAGCAUCCCAUGUAUGCUAGGCAGCAUUCUAAGAGGGCUAGACAGCCAGCACACCCAGUCAGUUAAUACGCCAAAGUAAAUGGUGAUGGUGGGGCGCUCGCCCCUUGAGUAUUGCUGGAAAGUAUGCAAGCCAGUAAAGAGAAGCGCCACCAUAAGGAUAAACCCAUAUCCAACUAAAAGUACCAUGGCUGUUGAAGUGUAGGAGCGGGCUACAUCCACAGUGCCAAAACUGAAACACGACGUGCAGCAUAAUACUAUUCUUCCCAGUGAGAAGGGGAGAAAUCCAAGCAGAAAAGCAAAUGCCACAUCACCUACCACCACCUGGAGAGAGAAAGAAAGGAAGAAAGAAACGCAUUGGUCAGGAACCGAAUAAAAUCAAAUUAUCUGGGAACAAUGAGUAAAGAAAGAGAGGGGAAGGAUUUGAUAAAUCCAAACAUACCAUUAGGGAAGCUUCAACGGUGUGCAGCGCAAGGAGCUGCAAGGUAUCCAACCCUCCAAAGCGGCGCUGCAGGUGAGCUUCGACGCGGGCCACCCAAAGCGCAAGGGGAGCAAGGGCGUCAGCAGCGAUCCUGGCAGGGGCGUUGAGCUGCCUAAGGUUGGGGAGCUCUCUGAGGAAGGCUCUCCUGAUGGAGGCGCAGGCAAGGACGGUGUCCGGCGAGGGCAUGAACCUCAGGGCGUAGGGCCUGGCGAAGGCAGAGGCGCGGAGGGAGAGGAGGUGGCGCACUUGAGCGAAGGUCCUGGAGAGGGCGAGGCGCCAGACCCAGAGGGUGGUGAGCGGCAUGAGGAACUCCCAGACGCAGACGGCGAAGAGGAGGGAGAGGAGUAGGAGCAACCAGGCCAUGAGCUUGCUGGCGAGGCCGAGCAUGAACUCGGGGAGGGGCAGCCUGGCGGGAGCGUUUGCGGCGUAGACGGGGGCGAUGGAGAUGGCGCGCUUGCACACCUGAAUUGGAUUGCAUAGUAGCCUCGUCGAUCAAUUCCAAUUCCGUUGAAGAAUCGAAGCCAGCACAGCAGGCGCCUAAAACCCCAAUCGAUUUUCUCCCCAUCCGAAGAACAGAAUGGGAAUGGAUGGGGAGCAGCCAAGGAAACCUCACCUCGCAUAUGGAUGAUGCCGACGCCGUGCUGCUGCCGCGUCGCGUGGCGAGCCAUCGGAGCAGGCAAUCGUCAUGGACGAACCUGAUGCUUCCGCGGCAGGCGCAGGGGUGGCGCAGGGGGCGGUCCGCCUCGCCCGGGAGGUGGCAGAUUCGGCACGCGUCCUCCUCUUCGCCGGGCGGGAGACGAGCGGCCGCCGCCGCGUCGGCCAUAGUUGGCCUCGAAGGAAAGAGAGGAAGCUUCCGGGCGGGGGGAGAGGAGCGCAGGCCGUAAUGGGCUCCGCCUGUUGUCGUGGCCGGGCCGUGGGCCACCUUCAGGCUCUGCUGCUGGUUAUUUAUUUUUAAUGCACCGAGCCACUACUGGUUACAACAACUUGUGCCUAUAAAUUGCUACCAGAACCAGAGAAUAGACAAAACAAGGAAUUAGAAAAGGAGGGGGUUUGCUACUACAAAUGUCAUCAUCAAAUCAAAUUGAUUAGAGGCGAGCAAUGUAUUGUAUUUACAUGAGACUCAACUCAAUCAAGCCUAAUAACCUACUCUAAUCUCCUAGUAUGUUCUCCCUCCCUUGCCUGGGUCUACGUCUAUCUUCUUCUAGCACCCAAAGGACUUGGAGGAGUAGCAUAUUCCUCAAAAUAAAUAACAAAAUUCACCACGCAAUCACUUGGUUUCAGUACUUGCCCUGCUCAUCUUUCCCUUCCCUAGCAAUCAAAAGAUAGUCCCAACAACAGAAUAGGCCUGCAGUUACUUAUUAUAUAUGCCGCAGCUUGCUCGGUGUAGCCUACAUAUCACCUCAUUCUGCAAUCUGCAUGCGGAGAUGUGGUGUUUUUCAUGCCAUUUAUACAGAAAAUCACCAGGGCGCCAUUUCUUCCCCUCCCUUCCAACAUGUAUUUGCUACGACAGCUUCAUGUCAAGCUUGCCUAUAGUAUAGUACAUACACACACCAAAAGAAGCAACCAUUAGGGGAAAAGGAAAAGCAAUACAACCUUCAUUGCCACAAUUUAUUUCUAUUAUAAAAGAAGAAUCACAAAGGUUCUGGCCUUACCCCCACUGUGCAAAUGAACAAGUGAACUCAAGUGCUCUUCAUUUACAUGUACUGGCAAGGAAGGCAUCUGACCCAUGGUACCCCGUGUCUCCCUCAUUCUGUAACAUGGACAAAUUACUUCACUUGGAACAUGGAAAAUUCAGUUCCACUAUUUAGCAGCUCAAUUGCCAACCGUGUGUUUGGUUACUGGUCCACUAUUUAGCAGCUCAAUUGCUAACCGUGUGUUUGGUUAUUGGGUCGGAGUGGGUUGGAAUAUGUUCGACCCACUUCGACCCGUGUUUGGUUGNNNNNNNNNNNNNNNNNNNNNNNNNNNNNNNNNNNNNNNNNNNNNNNNNNNNNNNNNNNNNNNNNNNNNNNNNNNNNNNNNNNNNNNNNNNNNNNNNNNNNNNNNNNNNNNNNNNNNNNNNNNNNNNNNNNNNNNNNNNNNNNNNNNNNNNNNNNNNNNNNNNNNNNNNNNNNNNNNNNNNNNNNNNNNNNNNNNNNNNNNNNNNNNNNNNNNNNNNNNNNNNNNNNNNNNNNNNNNNNNNNNNNNNNNNNNNNNNNNNNNNNNNNNNNNNNNNNNNNNNNNNNNNNNNNNNNNNNNNNNNNNNNNNNNNNNNNNNNNNNNNNNNNNNNNNNNNNNNNNNNNNNNNNNNNNNNNNNNNACACUCUGAAUGAUCUCGCACCUCUCUCGAGUCUUGCAUGUGUGGCGUGCACAAUCUCAUCUAAGUUUCAGAUAGUCGGAGAGAGAGUCAUAGUUAGACUCAUGCAAGAGACACGCGUCCAGACCUCGACACUCCUGUUUGCAUUUUUUUGUCUUUGAUUACUAACGAACAAAAUACAUCUAUCACAUCUAUCAGAAUUUGUUUCCGAGAAAUAUUUGUUUUUGCUUCUUUUCCCUAGAUUUUCUCUUAAGAAUAAUCGAUCGAACUAUGUUGCUUGCGUCACCUUGCCCGGGGCGGGAGGAGGUGUCGCGGGGGCGGCUGGGGAGGCGGAGGCCGGGGCGGGAAAAGGCGGCGCGGGGGUGGCCUGGCCGGGGAGGUGGGGGCUGGCGGCACAGGGAGGGAGGCGGCUGGCGGCGCGGUGAGGGAGGCGGCUGGCGGCGCGGUGGAGGGGGCGCGCGGACGCCGGGGAGGAGCUGCAGCCGGGCAGCGCUAGAAGGAGGCUGUGCGGGGAGGAGGAAGAAGAUAGAAGAGGGAGUGAGGGAAAAAAAAGGGGAUGACAGGUGGGCCCCACAGCUGAUAGGUGGGGCCCACAACUAACGGUGUUAAAAGGACAUCCAUCCCAACCCUCUCAACCUCUUCAACCAAACAAAAGACUAGGUCCAACCCAUUCCUCUCAUUCAAACACGAGCUGGGUUCACUCCAACCCACAAAAGGGGGCUGGCUCCAACCCGACCCACGUCGUCCCAAAACCAAAACGCAUGCUACGACAGCUCCCAUGCAAGGUUCCACUUUCAUAUUAAUUACAUAGAGAACCCAAAGGAAUAAAUGAAAAACAAGCAAUAGCAAUAUCAUACCUUUCUGAAAUUGCUCUUAUAUUGUUAUUCAUGCGUAGAAAUAGGUCCAUAUUCUCCUCCGUCUACAAGAAAUUUGUAAUCACAGAAAAGGUUAUAAUGACUCAAGCUUCUUUUUCUUAUGAGUGCCGGACUACGACUCAAACUUCCAUGCAUAGCUUUGAACUACUAUGUCUAGGUCUAUGUGCUUUUUUAAAAAAAAAAUCAAUCUAUGUGCUUUGCAACCACUUUUCAUCUCCAUGUUUCAUCUGUUGACCGACAGAUAGUGGAUGCAACCCUUGCAGCAGUGCCUAGUGCGCUCCUCUGCACUUAAGUAUGAUGCACUAAUACAUUUAGGAUCAUAAGUGAUAGAUAUUAGACAAAGUAUAUCAGUAUCCCAACCUUGAAGGUUUUGAUAUUUGCAGCAAUCUGGCUGAGUAACUGAUUAUUUUCCUCCAGAAGAUGCUGAAUUGCACUAUCUAAAACAGGGGCUGCUUCAGAAGGGAAACAAAGGAGUAUCGUCAGGAGGAAAAAAAAAAAUCAAUCAGCACGAAAUAGUUCCAUGAAAUAACAUCAGCAAGGAAGAAAUUUUUCAGUAAUUUGUCCAAACUGUAUGUUACUGUAUUACAUUGCAGUUUGUGCAAUAGAAGUACAUAGCAAACAUGCAACAGCACUGUUCACAGGAACUGUCAGAGCCUCAUGCAUUGUUCAUAUGAGAUGCAUUGGCACAUGUUAGUUUAUGGAAAUUUGGGAGAAUAUUAGUAGUUUUGUCGUGAGAUCAGUAGGGAUUUUUUUAGAUAUGUAUGCCUGUAUUAGAUAUAAGUUUCAUUCAUUGUCGAUCAAAUGAAGGCAUUGUGUCUUGUUAAAUUAAGAAGGAAUGCCCUAUCAAAAAAAGAAGAAGGAAUGUGUCAGUAGCUAUUCUCUCCAAAAAGGUAUUUCAUCCCAGUAUGCAACCUUUGUCUCCCCUAAACUAUCAAAAAAUAAAAUAAAAAACUUUGCCUCACAUCCAUUGCACCGAUUCCCUUCAUGGCAAUAUACUCUGUUCAGUAGUUACCGUCUUGUGAGGUAAGAAUCGUCAAAAUUAGUGUAUAACAAUUCAGACAUCAAUAAAGAUACUAUCGAAAAUCAUGAGACUUUUAGCCAACAUUUCUCUAAUUUUACAGCAUAGCUAAAGCUUGUAAGGCAGAUAUUCGUGCACAUAUUCCAAUUCUAAUACUCUACAUUUCACAAUAUUGUUCGUAUGAAACAUCUGCACAGCCCAAUGAGACAAGGAACCAGUAAAAAAAUAAAAAGAAUGAGAAAUUACUUCCACUACCACUAUUCAAUGAUGUACUAUGACCGAACCCUUUUUCUCAGCAUUGAAGUAGGGCUAGAGACUGGAAAAAAACACAAUGGCCACACUUCUGAUUUCCUCAAUGGACAAACAUUAUUAAAACGAUGCUCCCAAGAAAAUGGAUGUCAUGUGUACAAGUCGCUUGGGCCAUGAGCCGGCCCAUUAGGGCGUGUGGGCACCGGCCCAGCAAGGGGCCGCCGUCUUGGUUAGGGUUUAGGAAGAGUCUAGAAAAUAGGUUUGCUUGUAAUUCAAGUCGAGUUAGGUUUGUUUGUGAGUCAAGUCAGCUCCUCCCCAUAAAUAUGAGGGGAGAGGCAAGGGAUUGAAUCAAGUAGGAAAAGGGCUUAGUCCCAUCCUACCUUUUGCUAAGAAAGUCUCCAACAGCUCUCCAGCCUCCCUGCACCCUAGCCGCCGCUGCGCUGCCUCCAUGUCGCCCAGCGCCGCCUCCACGCCGGCGGCAGCCCUGCCGCCGCCGUUCCCCUCCUCUUCCUAGGUGCGGCCAGCCCUAGGCCAGCCGCAUUCCCCCCUCUCUAAUCCCUGAUCCCCCUCUAAUCCGCUACUAAUAUUGUCAGGGAUCUCUAACCCUGACAAUGGAAAUAUACUGUGAAACCGUGAAGCAAUACCCUCGGUUGGAAUAAGUUUACUUCACCCCCUCACCUAUUCAAGGUUGACUGUUUAAUCCCCUCGCCUAUGGAACCAGGUAUUCUACCACCCUCAACUAUUCAAAACCAUGUAAAUAACCCCCAGUGGCAGUUUUAAAGGUGGACUAUGACGAUUACGUGGCACUACACAUGGAUGAUGAAGUGGCGGGAUAUGCACCCAAUCAUGCUGGAAUCAGCAUUUUCCCAGCUGCCAAGCUGCGCUGACUGCCGCAGGGCACCACGCCAUCCACAACUCUACCAACCAAGCCCCUGUUGUCGGCAACAAGCUCCUUCCUGACAAGAAGAAGCUCGCGGACCCUUCGUUCUCUCCCCGCUGCCAUCACUCCCAUCUCCUCGCCAAUCUUUGAUCCGGCGGUCGUUCAUAUGUAUGGAACAUUACAUUGAAAUUAUUUUAAAAAUAUACUUUGUGGUAGAUCUUCCUUGCUAGGCGGAAGACACCACUGGCAGGUCCCCUCGGGGGGCUUGCCUGCGAUAGUGACCGACGCGAUGCUAUACCGGAAAGGCCCCUCGGGGUGUUAGAAAGUAUAGGAUGUGUACAGAGCAGUGCUUGGAAAGGAUUGUGCUUCGGGCAAACCCCUUAAAGAGGUUUUCCCCCGAACCCCCUUUCCAAAAAAGAUGGAACGGAACUGUGGAACCUAACUUUUGUGAUUUUGUUCAGUGGUUAGGUUCCCAGAACUAUAGUAUAACUCAUUAGCUACACCCCCGCCCUCAGGGUGAAGGUGUUCCCCCCGAGACCCCCCUUCUAGUUUUUUAUUUUAAACUAGUUCGCCCUGAGCCGACUUGGGAUUAUAAAAGAGUUAUACUUGUUCUGCCCGACCUUCAGGAUAGUGAAUCCUUCCUGCCAGGAAGGCUUCCCUCUCCCUUUGGUCUAUCCCAUAUCAUAGUCCGUAGUGACAUAUAGGCAAAACCACCUCUAAAACCGCCACAAGGGGUUAUUUACACGGUUUUGGAUAGAGCGGAGAGUAGAUUACCUGGUUUCAGAGGUGAGGGGGUUAAGUGAUCAACCUUGAAUAGGUUGGGGGUGAAGUAGAGUGAGAAACUAACAAGGAGAUCAUAGACUUGGAGGAAGAACCUGGGAGAAAGACUAAUCACUAACGUAUUCUACUUCUUGAUAGUAAAUUAAGUGUGCGCAAAACACAGUUUACCCGCAUAGGAUAACUAAAAAUUGUCCUAAAUGACCAUGCUGUGUUCAGAAGAAUUGUCCACAGGUAACUUGUUCAGCAACGAGAACCUUUUGUAAUCCUCAGCACAGGGCAACAGCUAAACUACCCUGCAAUACUGUGGGACGUGAGCACUGUGUAUAGACCCUACAACAUGUACAAGUACUGCUGACAGAUGAAGACCACCUGGUAGAGAAGCCAAGAGUCGGAUUUAAAAAAUUAUGACAAGAAAUCGGACCAUGAUUGUGUUCAGAAGUAUGGUGAAUGUUUUAUUCUUAGUAUUUUAUCCACCUUCCAGUCAGGCAACACAGGUCAUUGCCCAAUUCAUAUGGCCUAAAUUUACCAUGUACCUCUCUUUGAUAUUUCAGCAAAACAGCCUAGUAAGUCAAGUAUGCAAUGGGCCUGCCAGAGCCUAACAAGCAAAUGCAUCUAAAGGUUGCUUCCUAGAAGAAGCAGAUAACAUUGGUAACUACUGAAGUAGUGCACCUGCAGAUCCAGGCCGCAAACUCAUGUAUCUACCAUCCUCAAAUGACCAGCCAUUUUCUACUCACAACAGUAAUUAAGGACAAUACUGGAGAACUAUAAAGCAGCCCUAACUGUGGUUACGAUGCGAACGCUAUGCUAAUCCUACAGUUACAAACUGCUCUAUAAACAAUUGAGUUUGAAACAUGUCACACAGAGCAAACAGUUUACCACAUCCAAGGGAACAAAUCAUCUAUUGAUGGACCAACCUUCCAUAGGAACCAAGCUAUUUUGACUUGGAUGAUGCAGUGAUAAUGGAAGCAGGAAUGCACUGUUUGUAGGCGGCAUUGGAACGUUAGCUGCCGAGGUAGAGGCAACCAUCUUAUUCUGCAGUGAUUACCCAGGAAUUUAAUCAUCAGAAAAAAAAAAGAGUACAGGAUUUGCAUAAGCUUUAAUAAAGCUACUGGGGUGCGUAUCUGAAUGAAUCAUUCGAUUUUUAUACAAGAAUACCUUCAAGUACGUCAUGUUUUCCCCUGCAUAAUAGUCAUCAGGUUUCCUCCUCCUAGUUUCGUUUCCCUGGAAUGGCGAUAUAGUAGAGCAAAAGAAAUAGGCAAGUUAUGAACAACCUAAGAAGUAGCAACAAACUAGAGGUGGAUGCAUGAAAGAGAAGCUAGAAACUUACAGGAGUCCAACAGCAUCUUAGUGCAACAUCCCUAAUGGUCUUAGCCGGCAGCAUAGCAGCAAUCUUGAUGUACUUGGUAAUAUUAGGUUCAUGGGCGUAUCUGGCAAAGAGUAACAGGUUGAUAUACUGAAGGAGAGUAAAUGCAGUAAGCAGGCAGAGGGUGUUUAACCUGAUGAGGCCCUCCUCCAAGGUUGCAACCUCGUGUGCGGUCCAAUCGGCAGGCGAAGCGGUGACAAACUUGUACUUUUUUGGAGCUGAUGGAAGUGAGGAGGUGGUGGCGGGGGGCAUAAGGGUGGGAUCGGGAGUGGACGACGUGAAGGAGAGCAUGUGGUUGUGGUGGUGCGGGGGAUUGUAGGAGGAGGUGGUGGGGAGCCCCUGGCCCUGAAGCGGGUAAAAGGCCAUGGCCAUGGCCAUGCUGCUGGAGUCGGUGGCGGCCAUGUCCCCGAACAUUUCUCCCUCCCUCCCCUCCCCUCCCCUCUCCUCUCCUCUGAAAUCGAUCGAUUGGAACCCUAACCGCCAACCCCCAUCCCCAUCCCCAUUUGAGAAGGAGAAUCGAAUGUACUGAGCUUUUUCUCCCCUCCCAAGCAGGACCCAACUCGGCCGGCGAGGGUGCGGGUGGGGCUGAGGAGGCGGCCGGCGAGGGUGCGGGUGGGGCUGAGGAUGCAGCGGCGGACGGGAGGUGAGAGACGAUGGGUGCCUGGAGGAGUGAGAGACGACGGCUCGCUCCCCCCAGGGGGCAGGGGCUUCUCCACGUUCCAAACGCUAGUUUCGAGCCCAUCCGGAGCCGAAAAUAGCAGGCGCGUAUCACAAAAUAAUAUAUUAAGUGGAUAAGUUGGUACAAUUCAUCCAAACAAAACAAAAGAAUCAAAUGAUACAACCAACCAAACACACCCGAGCAGAAAAUUGCCUUCCAUCGACUACAUGUCAACGCUUUCACAGCAUCUUUUUAAUAACCAGAAACUAAUGACCAAACACGAUUUCUAUCAUUCCGUUCUAUUCUUGCACAAAUACACCAUAUAAUAAAACAGCAUCACAGAGUCCUCUCCAAAAACAUGCAUAUCAACUGAUGCCAGGAAUGACUUUGACACCCCUUUCACAAUACAGCAUGGUUCAAACAAGGGAUUCCACUCAUUCUUUUCACACAUGCGCCUUCAAUAGGAACUUACUAUCUAGACCAGAAAUAUUUAUUGCAAUAGCAAAUGAGCUUGCUAGUACAUUUCAGGCAUCUUGACUUUGUGUUUGUGUCACCACACACACAUCUCCUCAGCAGUCGUCACUACUUCACGCCAACCGAUGCCAUGAGAUCCUCGUACUCAGGGUCCGCCCCCUCUGUUUUCUGAGCUGCCGUUGGUGCAAAAGGAUUGUAGAUUGGAUUGCCACCCUGCCUGUCUCUGCUUGCAAAUGGAUUCGCCUGCGAUGGUGGCCUCGGCUGGAAUGGGCGGGAAGGCAAGAAAUUUGAUGGCCCCAGCAUAGGAUGUGCUUGUACUGCUGGAGGGAUUCCCGGGAAACCCGCAGGUAACUCGAGAUGAGAUGGAUUCCUGGGGAAGCCUCCAUGUAAGUGUUGAGGUGGAUGAGGUGGAGCAUGCAUCCGAGCCUGACCCAUUGCAUUCAAGGGCCUGCCAUCACAAGGCCUUUGGAAGCCUUGAUUGGGACUCUGAUUGCCAGGAUGGAAGAAUGGAGCGCCAGGGUGACUUCUGCCUUGUAUUCCCAUUUGACCGCCUGAUGCUGCAAAAUCUGGAGUAGGUGCAGGUGAUACAACAGGCCGAAAGGUAAAAUCACCAGCAACUGGGCGUGGAGGUCUCAAAGCGGCAAUUGGUGCCUGACCGGAGCUUGUGCUUGCAGGACCUGAUGCAGGUGGGCACGAAGGAGGCACCAUGCCAGGAGUUGGUCCAACUCGAGAGAAAGCUGGAGGUGGGCCUAUGGAAAGUGGGUAGCCCGACUGUGUUGAUGACCCACCACCACCAGGAAAUGCUACCGGGGAAGGACAUUGAGGCGCAACUGUAGAAAAAGACUGAACUCCACCAGGAGGCCUGGAAACUAAUGUUGCUGAACAAGUGAAAUUUGCUAACGCUGGCUGCUGGCUGUGGUACAUGGUGGGCAUAUUUGAUGGAGGUGUCAAUGCAGCAGGACCGUGCGGUGGAGUUGCGCCAAGAGGGGACACGGAAAUAGGUCUCACUGGCACAAAAUUCGGUGAAGCUUGAGGAGGCCACUGAGAUUGUGGCGUGAUGGGAGAAAAAGAUGGCCAUCCACCAGAUGCGUGGGGUAUUUGAAGGGGUCUAACUGGCGGUGGCACUGAGGAAGAUGGUGUCAUUUGUGGGCUUACAAUUCCAGGUGGUUGACCAAAAGGCCCAAUUGAGGAGUUAGCUCGGAACUGAGGUGGAUGUUGUUGAUUGCUUGGCAUUGAUUGCUGAGGUCCAGGAACAGGAAAUGGAUUUCUUGGCGUGCUGUUCAUGUGAGGAGGAUGACCUGUGAAGGGAGGCAUACUGAAAGAACCAGCAAACGGUUGUGGUUGCAAUGAAUUGUUAGGUAAUGUACUCAAAACAGGCCCUGAGGAAGUAAUUGAUGGAGCAUCAGUCUGAGGAGUGGACAGCCAAGGAGCAUUUUGUGAUUGGUAAUGAAGUAGACCUGGGGGUGAAAUGGUAUUCUGCACGGGAUUUACAUCGGAGGUAACUGCUGAAGAAACAGUAGUAGUUGUUGGAGUAGAUGUUGACUUCACCUAAGGUCCAAAUGAUUCCAUGGUCAGUUGACAACAAAUAAGAGGAUUUAGAGAGGGGGGAAGACAAGCUGGACUUACCGACACAGGAGCAAGAAGCAGCUCAAUCAACGCAACUGCAGUAUCUACUUUAUCAUAAGAGUCAGCCGAGACAUUGAUGUAUAGGUCUUCAUAAGCAGCUCGAGCAUCACUUAUGUCUUGAUGAUGAAUCUCGCUCUGAGCAUGAAUGAAAAAGUUUUUCAUUUGUCUAUUGUGUUGAAAUUGCUUUAAAAAUUGUUUACUACAAGGAGAACACACGUGAAAAUUAUGUGAUAUUGAGAGCUUGAGGAUCAAGAUCAAAGGUGAAACUUAAGUAAUGCUAAAAGAAGGGAGUGCAAAAUCGAAAGGAUGAUUAGUAUCGCUGUAUAAAUGAUCUAUCAAUUUAAUUUACAGAAUCAGGAAAACAAAUAUACCUUCUCUCCAUUGAUUUUCUUAGUCCCAUAUACUUGUAUUACAGCUCCAGUUUCCUGCCACGUGCAAAUGAAGUCAACAGAGUUUAACAUACACACUACUCUCAGGGAUGUUUCAACAAAAUAAAACUACAGGAUGUCCAAGAAUAGAUCAUACUUCAUGUAGCCGCUUCAGAGUAUUGCUCUCAGGUCCUAUAAGAACUCCAAUAAUAUUAUGUCCAGGAUGCGCUUCUGCCUGCAAUGGCCAACAGCAUUCCGUAAAUGCACCAUAUCUAUAAAAAGAUCUAGAGGCUAAAUGUUAGUAUCAAGUCCAUCCAAAAACUAAGUAUAGCAUAUCAUAGACAAAACAGAUCAAUUGAGAUCCCUCCCCUCUAGUAGAUUACACUACUCUAGGGGAUAGACCUAGUUGUGAUACAUAAUUCUAGUAUAUUACAAAGGAAAUUUAAGAUAAACUCUUAAUGGUGUAAGCCAAUCGUCCAUGUACAAGAAACUCUUGGGGUAUCAAAAAUUAUAGUUGCAAGAGAACAAAAGGAUCAAUACCAUCUUGCAUAAAUGAAAAACAACCAAUGGCUAAAGGUCAAAACAUGCAAUAAGCACAAGAAGUAGUGUGAUAACAUACCGGAAGAGGGAUCUUUGUCUCCUUAAGUACUGGUUUGUAGUUCUCAGGCACCUUAUAUCCCGGAUUCAGACGGAGUAUUUCACCUGCAGAUAAUAUGCGCCACAGUUAAUACUACAUAAUUUCUUGGAGAUGAAUAAAGACAUUUAACAAGGCCAGUAUAUCACCACCAUGUCCAGAACCUAACACGGGGCAACUGGGCAACCACAUGUAUCACUGAGUGAGAUACUACUAAAUAGAGCAAUGCCCCAUGGCCCCAUCAGUACCAAGACACAAUGACACAGGCACAUAUUUAUGUUUACUUAGUAAUUAAAUGAAGUGCAUGAUUACAGGAGAAAAGGAGAACUUCUCUGACCAGUAAUUUCUCGUCUUUCAAGUUCCAAUAGCUCAACCUUUCCCUGCUGCAAAAAGGGUAAAAGAUGCUUACCAAAUGAGAGCAUAUAAUUGUUUAUCUUGACACACUAUUAGGCUGCAAUAAGCGUAGCAUCUGAAUUAGGAAUACCUCAUUCUCUUUCAAAUUGUCAGAACCAACAGAAUUUGUCCCCUUUCCAGUGGAUACUGAACCUUCAAUUUUACCCAUAUCCAAGGUUCCGGAUUUCAGCUGCUUGGUGAUUUGCUCCACUCGAGUCUGCUCAUGCAGUAAUAUGAAUUAAUGACACCUGGCAAUGGAAGCAUUCUACAUGAGAGAAUCGCAAGAAAAAUGCCCGGUUCUGUCCAGUCAGAAGGGGGGCACAGGGCUUAUCCCUUCAAUUUAUUAUUUGCCUAGCCUCCAAAGUAAUGUUCACCCAAUAGUGUGUGUUUCAGCAUUUCCAUUCUAGUCAAAGGAACUGGUGUAUGAAGUACUAGAUUUCUAAAGUGUUUAGAGAAAACAUAUGCAACCUUGUUUAAUUUGAAAUGUAGAUUGAUCACAGAUGCUAGGCGAUGAAGAGAAACAGAUAUUUUAAGAAAAUACAAGCUCAAGUUGACAUUCUAGUGACUGGAAGUGAUACAGAAUCAUCUACAACCGUCUCAGGCAAUCUCUGAGGAAUGAUAUUUUUUACUGAAAAACGAUAAAACAUACCGUUGAAGCGAAGACCUUUCAUCGAUCAAAAUGCAAAAGAUAGAUGUCAAGAGAUGGAGCAGACUAGAAGUGUAAAUUUAUAGAGGUCAAAAGAGGAGACAGUACCUGGUAGGCCAAAGCCCUUCCUUUGCACACAGCAGGGUCGGUGGUGAGGUCAGGCCCCCACUUUGUCUUUCUCUGAGCAUGCCUGCUGUUAUCUUCCUUGGAUGCAGUAGGUGUUUCAUUCUUGGUAGUGGCACCACGAGUUACAAGUGAGCCGGCUAGCUUGUUCUUUGGUAUGACGAAUCCAGCUUUUGUCCCGAAUAUUGAAAUCUUGGGAGUCAAAGAUAGAGGUGCGGUGGAUUUUGCUCGCUGAUGCUUGGCAGGAGAAGAUUGAUCUAGUUUUGUGGCCAUCUACAAGCAAUAGAAAGAUGCAUUCAACGUCGGAAGCAGGGGAAGGAGAGUACGCAUGCGGAGCUGGUGAAUUGCGAUGCCUAGGUUCAACUACUAAGCACCUAAAUCAUGUUCACAUACUGAAACAUAAUAAAGUAUAAAAUGUACAACUUCGAUAAUAGUUAAUUGUGCAACAAACUUGAUGUUUUGGAUCCAUUUUCUCAACUUGUAUGUGAAUAAAAAUAUGCAAAUGUCCUCUAUCUUCUUCGUUGUGUAAUUCUAGUACAAGAUACGGAGAUUUCAAUUUGCCGCAAAUGGUUCAAAGUUUUGAACUAAAAUUGAAAGGGGAUGGGAACUUAGGAGGCUAAGAGAUGAACAACCUGUGUGCCUGUGGCCUAAUUGCCUGCCUGUCUGCGCCUGGCGGCCUGGGCGCCUAGUGGUGAUGGCGAGUUCCACGGGCCAUGGUGCGCCUGUGCCGCACACUAGCAGGCAGCUAGUCCAGACUAAACGAAUCGAUGCAGGGCGGAUUUGGGAAUCGGGAGCUAGGGUUUGGGUGCCCGGAGGGAAGGGGGUGGCUGGGGGCGAGGGCGAGCGACGCUACGAGCCUGAGACGGCGCACGUACCUUCUGCAACCUUCGACGGGCAGGCGGCUACUCAAGCUCGGGCGCAGAGGCAACGGACUCCAAGGGCGGCGCCGACGAACUCCAAGGGCGGCGAUGGCGAACUCCAAGGACGGCGAGAUUGAACUCAAAUGGUGCAGGGGAAUCCGGUGGGGAAGACGUGGCUCGCAGCCGGCGGCGCAAACCCUAGAAUCACCAGGCGGGCGGCGCACCGUGCGAGCAGGGCAGCAGCCGGAGUGGCGGACGAGGUACUUGGCGGAUGGCAUUUGGUGGGUAAUUUUGAUCAAAGUUGAAGGGUAGUUUCGUAAUGAGUACCCUUUUAAAAAAAAACCUUUUAAUUAAGGCCCUGUUUGGGAAGGGCGUGUUAAAAUUUAACAGGGUGUUAAACUUUAACACCCUCAAAUAAAGGUGUUAAACUUUAGUAUCUUGAGGUGUUUGGAUGAUCUGUUAAAAUUUAACACCUUAGGUUGUAAUUGACAACUUUACCCCUCAUUACUCCUCUCAAUGGCAGCCAAAUACCCCUUCUUCCUUCUUCUCCUUCCUCCUCCUUCCUUCUUCCUCCUUUCCUGUGCCUGGCGCCUCCGGCCCCACCCCUGCUCGGUCCACGCCGUGCCCGGCGCCAGCGUCGGCGUCGGUGCUGCCGGCCGCCCCGUCGGCCCUUCCCCUGCGCCUGCCGCCUCCGGCCCCGCCCCGCCGCCGGCGUCCCCUACCGCGGCGCUAGCGGCCGCGCCCGCCCGAGCCCCCAACGCCACCACCGCGCCCGCCCGAGCCCCCACCGCCACCACCUGCGCCGCCCGCCGGUCCCCACACCACCGGAUCGGACUCGCCCGCGCCGGCGACGAUGAACCGCCAGCCACGCGAGGCCGCCCGCGCUGGCCGCCGCCCGCAGCCCGCGCGAGGCCGCCCGCGCUGGCCGCCGCCCGCUACCCACGCGAGGCCGCCAGCGCGACCCCGCCGCGUGCUGCCCAGCGCGGAAUCCCGGCGCAUGAGCGGAGCGGACCGGCGGUGGCGCGCGAUGGGCGGACCAGCGGCGGCGCGACGGGCGGACUGGCGGCGGUGCGCGACGUGCGGAUCGGGGAAGGAAGAUGGGGGCAGUGGAGGAGAGAGAAGAGGAGAGAGAGGGGGGCAACCAGGGAAUAAGUGGGGAGGGGGACCACUUUUAACACUUUUAGCACAUUUUAACACCCCCUCCAUGUGUUUAUGAAAAGAGGGGUGUUAAAUUUUAACACUUCAUCUUUAACACUUGUGUUUGGCAACCAAAAGUGUUAAAAUCUGUUAAAAAGGGGGUGUUAAACUUUAACACCCCCUUCCCAAACAGGCCCUAAAAAUUUGAAAAUAACGAUUUGCAAAAACAAACUCUUUCGGUAUGAGAUUUGCCACGGUUUACGGUAGCACACAUACUAAUAUGGAGUAUAGUUAUGCCACAUGCAAUGGCGUGACUACAGUCACACCACGCCGGUUGGUUCGACCGAGCCUUGAUGGAUGACGCAGUAAAAAGGUGGUACGGGUGUCGAGGCUUGGUCACUGCAAACCAUGUAGCAAUUUGGUCACACAAACCAUGUGAUGUGCUAUUACUCACGCCAAAAAGCUUGUCGUGACCAAAAGUACUAGUUUUUUGAAAUAUAGAUUGGCAUCGGUUAUUUUUAAAAUAUUAAUUUUCAAAAGAGGGUAAAAAAAAUCUCAAACAAGACCAGGGAGGUAGUUUGCUGCUGGGUCCGGUGGCCUGUUACCAGAUUUUUUUUAAUAAUCAACAGUGUGGAGACCGACUAGGAGGAGGGUCGAUGGCUAUUCCCAAUCACACCCGCGACUCAGAGCCGACACAUUGCAGAAAAGAUCGUGAACCCUUGCCUCCACCACCGCCACCAACUACGACACCACUCCGUGCCUCCGCCACCGCCUUGGUGCUAAUCCGAGCCAUCGUUUCCAACUUUAGCCGACCUCCCCGUAUCCACCACCUCCUCAGCUCUAGCGUCGUCCGACGCCUCCACCACCACCAUCAUCGCCAUCGUUGCCGCCUAGCCGUCGUGCCUCACCUCUCCCGUUCUAGAGCUCCCCCGCCACCAUACCUCGCCGUCAUCUUGACCGGGCCUACCGUUGAUUCGGCAACCUCCCACCACCUCCUCUAUAGCCCGACAGCCCCGGAACCCUAACCCCGACAGCUUGGGUAGCACGAAGAGCGGCGGUGGUGGUGGGCUGUUGCUUGGCCGUCUACGAUUAUUCCCAAGUGGGUCAGUUACCAGACCAUAUAAAUUAGAAGGGAGCUAUUUCAAACUUGAGUCCAUGCAACCCUAAAUGUCCUAUUCCAAAAUGGCCCUUGUGCCACCAAACCUAGAAGACUUUCUUUGUUUCCUUUUUAGUUUCACUUUUAGAUUCUUGCAGCAUCUUAUGUCCACCAUCCAAUCUAGCCUGCACGCACCAUCUCCGCCUGCCACCACCAUCGUUGGAGAACAAGAAAAUAAUUUUUUUUAAAUUAUUAAUAUAGUUUUUAAUAAAUUUUGAAUACAUUCUCUUAAAAUGUUAAAAUAGGUUAUGAAAAAUGUCAAGUUUUGUAUUUUUUUAGAUACUUAUGUGUUUCUGAUAAAUGUUGAAUUUGCUAUUUUUUUAAUGUUGAUCUAUUUUUAAAAAAAUAUUAAGUCUAGUCUUUUGAAAUGUUGAAUUUAGACUUCUAAUAUGAGUCUUAUAGGCUUCAAAGUCAUAAUACUAAUCGGCUUCCAUAAGGAUCUGAUUAGAUGGAUCUGAUUAGUUCGUUGCUAAGCUGAGCUAGGCUCGUACUUGAGAGCGAGGCCCCCGGUGGCAGAAGGCGCUUUGCUGAUUGGUUGCCUGCCAUAUCUAGCCCGACUGCGCCGAGUCCUUGUGUUGGUCGGCUGAAUGAAGCCUCCACUUCACACACGCCAAGCCUCUUUUAGCUCACUUUGGAUGUGCAAGUUGCAUCGCUGGAGCCUGGCCCGUGAGGAAACGCGCAUUUUUGCUGCAUCUCAGGAGGCAGCCUCGGCAACAGCUUUUGUACUCGUCGGGCCAGGCCCAACGCUUGGUUUGUGCAACAAAUCAAAGCACACUUCAUCUUCGAAGCCUGGCCAAGACUGAAUACAGACCCUAAGUUGUAUAGAAGCUAUACUGACUGAAUUUUUUUUUUCUAGACGGCUGAUAAUUCUGGGUGGCUUGAAAAAACAGAACGGAAGUGCUUAUGUUUGUGAAUCUUGAUGUCAAUUUGUGAAUAUUGCUUAAAAAAUCUUUUAAAAGAGGAAUAGUAUUUUUUUUUUGCUGAUAUCAAACAUUUAGGGCCUGUUUGGAUCCAAGGACUAAAUUUUAGUCCCGCACUUUUAGCUCAAAAUUUAGCUCUUGGGAUCCAAACAGGAGGGCAAAAAGUGACAAAUAGCUAAACUUUGGGCUAAAAAAAUUAGCUCCUCAAGAGGCCCAAAAGGGGCUAAAAGGGACUAAAAGUGAUCCCCCGGACCACUUUCCUCCCCUUGCCCCGUACUCUCUCUCUCCCGCACGCUCUGCCCGGCCCCGCCUCCUUCGUCCGCCGCCGCCGCUAUCUCCACCUCGCCUCACCGGCCUCGCCACAUCCGCCUCGCCUCGCCGGCCCCGCCGUCUCCGCUCGACCCCGCGGCGCCGUCACCUCCUCCUCCUCCGCCGCCUCACCCCCGCUGCCUCCGCCUCGCCCCUGCCGCCGCCGGCCGCCUCCUCCUCCUCCUCCGCCUCGCCCCCGCCACCACCUCCACCUUCGCCUCGACCCCGCCGCCGCCAGCCUCGAUGCCCUCGGCCGCUGGAUCUGGGGGCCGUGGCCGCCGGCGGGGAGGAGAGGGCCGCGACCGCCGGCAGGAGGGAGGAUGACGAGGAAGGCGUCGAGGUCGAGACGGGAGCGGACGGUGGCGGCCUCGAGGUCAUAGAGCGGGAGGAGGAGGCGGACGACCUCCUCGCUCCCGGUCUCCGCGGCGACGUAGAGCGCGGUCUUCCCGGCGUCCGUCUGCGUAGCGGCGAGCGCGGCCACGGAGGUGCCCGAGGCCUCGGUGUCGGCCAGGAGCGUGCGGACAACGACCGCAUCGCCGGAUCUGGGGCCCACGGCUGCCGGCGGGGAAGACGGCGGCAAGGACCCAGGGGCGAAGUGGAGAGGAGAGAGAGAGGGAAAGGAGGAGGAGGGAGUAAUGGUAAAUCAGUCAUUGUUUGAUGAGGGACUAAAAUUUAGCUCAUGGAUCCAAACACCCCAUCAGAACUAAAUUUUAGGGGCUAAAUUUUAGAGACUAAGGACCUGUUUGGAUCCAUGAGCUAAAUUUGGAGCCCACAGGUAGCGCUGCAAUUGCCGUCAUGAAACGAGUUGAUGUAGCUGCUAUAUUGCUCCGCCACAAUUUUGCAAGAUAUUUUCUUCAUGCUAUUAGUUUUUCUCCUGAACAAGCUAAUUAUGUUGGACAAGUAGGUUCUUAGACUCGCUAUUGCUAAGCAGAAUGUAUCUGUUACAAAUCAUUUGGAUUUCUCUCCACUUCAAAAGUGCCAUGUUCUCAGUAUCAUGUGUUUGCAAUUAUGUUAAUUGUAUAUCAAUACCUAGAUGCUCACACUUAGUUUAGGACGAGUUAAAAAUCAUUCAUGGAAUAUUAGAAUUGCAUCUUCAGGGCUUAGUUUUCGUGCUCUGUGUGACUAUACUCGGCACCAAUAAAUUUGGACAAUACUAUGAUGAAUUGCUUACAUUGGUAGAUUCUUAACUGGUCUGAUUUUUCUGUAUGUGCAUAACUGAAGAAGCUCUUCAUACCCUGUAAUAGAUUCUGCUGUCUCUGCUGCUUGUUUUAUAGUUUACAGUUAGAGCCUGCUCCGUUUUAUAUGAUAAUAGAGUAAAAGAAGAAAGAGACUGAGGUUUUUUUUCUUUUGUCACAUUCAAGACUCCUAAUGUCCCUAUGUAAUGUCCUUCAGGAAGAAGAUGAUACUGAGAUGGAUGUUGAUGCUGCAGCUCCGGCAACACAGAUUUCAAUCAAGCAUGGUCUCCCUGAAAUUGAAAUAUAUUGCUACUUGCUUGUCCUGAUUUUCCUUAUUGAUCAAAAGAAAUAUAUUGUUGUCUAAACUGUUGUAUGUACCCUUAGUGUUGAUCAUACACUAGCUUUUUAUCUGGUGGACACACACAGGCAAAAAAAAAAAAAAAAACUCAGUACCGAUGCAGUCACACAUCACACCUUCGUAGUUUUGAUUUGCCCAUUAUUCUACUCAACUACAAGCUAAAAUCUAGUUAGCAAUAAUAGCAAUGAACCUAACCCAAGUACCCAACCUUACACACAGGAUUAUGAACCCCUUUGACCUUUGUGUAUGGUUUGGUUUAUUUAACCCCCUCUUUUCUUAAACUUGGUUAGUUUUCACCUGUUGAUUCUUACCUUUCUCGGUUUUGCCAACAUAUGGAUUAACGAUUAACCCUGGUUGUUUUGGGGAAAAGAAAGGCAAAGACGAUGACGUUUCCAUAUCACCAUUUGCUAGCAGCACGGAAACAUCAGAUAUCAAACAAUGGCAUAUUGACGGUGCAUCAUCCCCAGAUAAAAUUGAGGCAAACAAACCACAGCAAAAGCCCAACCAACCAAAUGCAAUUCUUGCUGCUCUUCUUGUGUUGUGCCUGUACAAAAGGGAACACUACACCUGCAGAGUCGCACUGCACUGUCUGCAUCAUCUGCGAUAUCUUCUUAUCGACCCCCCCCCCCCCCCCANNNNNNNNNNNNNNNNNNNNNNNNNNNNNNNNNNNNNNNNNNNNNNNNNNNNNNNNNNNNNNNNNNNNNNNNNNNNNNNNNNNNNNNNNNNNNNNNNNNNNNNNNNNNNNNNNNNNNNNNNNNNNNNNNNNNNNNNNNNNNNNNNNNNNNNNNNNNNNNNNNNNNNNNNNNNNNNNNNNNNNNNNNNNNNNNNNNNNNNNNNNNNNNNNNNNNNNNNNNNNNNNNNNNNNNNNNNNNNNNNNNNNNNNNNNNNNNNNNNNNNNNNNNNNNNNNNNNNNNNNNNNNNNNNNNNNNNNNNNNNNNNNNNNNNNNNNNNNNNNNNNNNNNNNNNNNNNNNNNNNNNNNNNNNNNNNNNNNNNNNNNNNNNNNNNNNNNNNNNNNNNNNNNNNNNNNNNNNNNNNNNNNNNNNNNNNNNNNNNNNNNNNNNNNNNNNNNNNNNNNNNNNNNNNNNNNNNNNNNNNNNNNNNNNNNNNNNNNNNNNNNNNNNNNNNNNNNNNNNNNNNNNNNNNNNNNNNNNNNNNNNNNNNNNNNNNNNNNNNNNNNNNNNNNNNNNNNNNNNNNNNNNNNNNNNNNNNNNNNNNNNNNNNNNNNNNNNNNNNNNNNNNNNNNNNNNNNNNNNNNNNNNNNNNNNNNNNNNNNNNNNNNNNNNNNNNNNNNNNNNNNNNNNNNNNNNNNNNNNNNNNNNNNNNNNNNNNNNNNNNNNNNNNNNNNNNNNNNNNNNNNNNNNNNNNNNNNNNNNNNNNNNNNNNNNNNNNNNNNNNNNNNNNNNNNNNNNNNNNNNNNNNNNNNNNNNNNNNNNNNNNNNNNNNNNNNNNNNNNNNNNNNNNNNNNNNNNNNNNNNNNNNNNNNNNNNNNNNNNNNNNNNNNNNNNNNNNNNNNNNNNNNNNNNNNNNNNNNNNNNNNNNNNNNNNNCUCACCAACUCGGUUUGCAUCGGUAAUCUGGUAUCAGGUUAGAUGGUAUGUAAUCUGCCUUCUAUAUGGUGGGUGAUUAGAAUCACCCACAUGCUCUCUCUCUCUCUCUCUCUCCCUCCCCUCUUGGAUCAACUAUAUUAUAGCAGGCCUCUAGUUAGUCACUACUUUCUUUCUUUUUUUUUUCUUUUGAUUGCUGCACUACAGUCAACAGGAAGCGGAACACGCCGUUUCUUCGGAGCAUAGCCGCCUAGCCUAGCUGCACCGGGACAGGAAGAACUCGUAAUCUGGAUGGUGGUUCACGGACUCCCCACUUCCCUUCGGGACAACAGCUCUUGCCAUGGCCAGUGCACCCAUCUUCAGUGUCCUCAGCCUCUCUUUCUGAACUUCAGCACAACUGGCCUCGUCAGUUGGCAAUUGCUUCAGAUCUGGGCAUCUCAGCUGAAACCACUGUUCUCCCUAUAAACAAGAGGAUGCAAAGCAAUCUAAGUUAGGCAUAAAAUCAUCCUCUUAAUACAAGCUCAUGAUCCACAAAAUAGAUACAAGCUUGAGUCUGAUGGGCGAACAUUGCAUCACUGGAAAUAAAUUUCUGCCAAGUAACUAUUAAUUCGGUUUCAUCAUUAUUUCCAGGAUUUUCAGUAGAACUCAUAGCAAUAUGGAUGGUAUGCUCAGUGAUGCAAAACACUUCCUACACUUGUCAAGGAAAACACCAAGUCGAAAUGGUACCUUGGCAUUGUAACUCUGGAGACCGACAACUGGUGAAACUACACGCGGAUGCCCACCAGUCAUAUCCAUGGAGCAUUUUUGAGGAACCAAUUUGCCCAGUGAAUGGUAAGUAAGAAAUGCUGCACGGAAGUUCCCACGAGGUACACGAUAAACAGGAUACCAUGCCACACAGAACCUAGAAAUGAAACAUACUGAUCAUCACAAGAGCCAAAUAUAACAAAUCAAAUAUUUAUAUUUACUACUGAUAAAAUUGCAAGCUGAGUUGGGGAACAAAACACAUCCAGGAUUAGGAACAAACCAGGAAGCUGGAUGAAGCUCACACAAUUUUGUGUUUUGCAGCUUUUCAGGGUCCCCAAAAAUUCGGUGGUCAGAAACGUUUGCACCGCUAACAAGCUCCUUAAUCCUACAUUAUAUUGCAGCCAUAUAUUAACGCAGAAAAAGGAGACAAACAAUCUGGACAGACAAAUAGAGAUUACAAUGUCCGUUGAAGUCUUACUGUGGCAAAAAGGACAUAGUGACCAUAUCAGAAAGACUGCAUCAAAAUGGAAACAGUACAUCUCAUGCCACAUACUUAAGAAUGAUUGGUUAGCAGCUUAUAAAUCGCAGCUCUAAGCUACUCAUUUGGACACAAACUAAGUUCUCUUGCUUUAGGCCAUAACUCCUAAACAUCCGGAUCAGCUAAACCAAUUGCGACAGCAGAAAAAGAAUAACUCAUGGUCAAUUGGUCGUGAAGUGCCACUGUUCACAAACUCACUAAUGGUUUAUAGAAUACUGUUCAUAACGAAGCUAUUAAACUUCCUUGCCUGUAUUACACUGUUUAUAACUAGAAUUGUUAAAUUCAUUUCCCCUUUCUAACAAAGAAAUAGAUUGGGAUCCUUUCCCAGUUGUGAACCCAUAAGCAAUUUUUAGAUGGAAAUGACACCAGAUUGAAGAGACGUGAACUAUUUACAAGAAACUGCAAAUGUCUGGAACUUAAGGAAAAGAAGGCUUACUUUUCAAAUAACGGGGGCCGAAAAGAAGGCUGCUCUGUUUCAAAGUACUCAAACAUGAGUUCUCCAUGACCUUCUACAACUAAAGAUGACUCUGAUGAGUAUGCGUUACUUUCCUCAAACGGUUUAUGCACCUUUGCAUGCACAGGAUGAGAGCUCAAAGAGCUUGCAGUAUUUGAUGCUUUCAGUAACUCUCUCCCUUGUACACCGAAACUGUGAUCCAUGUUAUUCCUAGACCACCCAAACAACUGAAUAGCAGAUAGAUAAGGUACAAAGUAUGCAAAGAACUCUGAACUGCUGCUGCAGGAUGUUUUAGAGCUGAGAUCAUUAAGAGCUUUUACUUCCAAUCCAUAGCACCCUGGCUCUUCAUACCACUCCCAUAUGGUCCUUAAGGAAACAUUAGAAAUGUCAUGCUGACAAACUGAGCUGCUAACUGCUUCGUCCCAUGAACAAUUGCUGCCUCUCAAGCAAGGUGCAUGACCAAUAACUGGAGUUGCAGAAUAUAUAAAUGUUUCAAGAUCAGUAAUUGGAUAACCAGCAGCAAGGUGAACAUCUGCAGCAACCUGAACUUUGUAGGCAUCAUUUACAACCCUGAGCAUUUCAACUAGAUGUGUUCUAGAGUUACAGAACUGUUGACAGCCAUGGUUCCCUUGAACAGAUGGAACUGUACCACAUCCAACCAAUAACUCAGUUGUCGUGGACUUAGACCCUGCAAUAUUUUGAGUACAACAUCAAGUUAGGUGUUACAAAGCCUGCUGCAAUCAGUCUUUGUAUCUUAUCAACAUUAAGAAAAAAAGGAAGUGGCGCAGGAUGCAAAGGUGAAGCAAUAUUUUCGAGAAAGAAUGUAAAGAUGGAGCAAUACCAGGUGAUGAUUGUCCAGAAAUAGUUUCAUUGGCAUCAUUAAUUUGAACUGAAUCGUGCAGUCUUCUUUUCUGCACGGAAAGAGCUACAGAAAUAUCUGUUGAUUCACCUGAUGACUUCGGAGUUGUCGUUUCAGAAGAGGAAACCGAUCCCGUCUCACAAUGGAUUGAUUCUCUGCUGUGAAGAGCAACGGAUAGUUUUCCGUGCAAAUAAAGCCGCUGUGCUUUGUCAAAAUCGCUAGUUGAUUGUUCAUAAGUUUUUUCUCUUGGACCUAUAAAAUAAUUGGGACUUGCUUGUAACUUGGAAUCUUCUGCUGGAAGUCCAUUGUGGGUCUCCAUGCGAACACUACUUGGCCUUUGCAUGAAAUUCUUGGAGGGGUGUUUUAUUGCAGUUCCAUGCUGAGGCUGUAUCCCACCAAUAUGAUUUUGUCUAUGGGACCGAUGAUCGGUGCGGACCUCUUUGGUCACUGGCACAGAAGCCCGGCCAACAUAUUUUUCAUUCCGAUCAUGUGUAAAUGUGGACACCCGCUCUCCAUAACUCUUCCACAGUAACAUUUUCUUCUCUUUUCUUGCCCUCUUUCUAGAUAUUACAAGACAGAAAUCAUUGUCCCUGCUUGUGUCGCUGCACAAAUGGACUGCCUGGACUCCACUGCAAGCACCAAUGCCAUUUUGGGAACAAAUACCACUAUCAUAAUCAGGUUUCUCUAGCCAGUUCUCAUCAAAUCCACUACUAGAGCUGCAAAAUUCUGUCGCUUCACACGGACCAGGUUCACGUUCAUUGCUUAAGAUUAACAGAGUCUUGGUAUCAUGGUUACAGUUCACACUACUGCCAGCAUAACAUGUUUCCUGAGCUGAACCUGUAAACACGGAAUUUUGAGCACUGUCCAAAUACCUUAAGUUACUGCUAUUACAUUGUCCACGCAGUCCUGGACACGAAAUUGCCGAUCUAGACGGUUCUGUCUCAUCACAGUAGGACGCACUGGAAACUGAACCAACUGAGCAGCAACGGUACUCAUUAUCAUUGUCACUCUCAGGAGCCUCUUCAGAAGCUUCCUUAACAGAUGAACUGGGAGAAAAAGUUUCCUCAAAGUGUAUGUCACCAACGUGCUUAGGUGACAGUGUCAAAUCUUCACAAUCACCUUCAUCGACUGCAGGGGCAGCACUGUUAGUCUCUCCGCAUUUAGCUUCAGGCCCAUCCGUUGGUUUCCUACAACGUUGCCUGUGCUUCUUGCUUUUCUUUUUGCUCUUCCUUCUUGAAGUAUGUCUUGCAUUACCACUUGGCUUGGUAAAGCUGUUGACUAAGAAAUCAGAAUUGGACGUGCUAUUGGAAGUGGUGGAUCUAUCUUCCAGUAGCCUUGAUGAAUUACCUGGCCAUCUUCUGUGAGAUCCAUCUGGAGGAUAUGGCAGGAAAAGAAUUGAUGGCGAGGUUGGUGAUAAGGAUGAUGUAUCUUCUGGAGAUAUAGGUUGAGAUGAGGGAUGAUUGUUCCCAUUCUCGGUGAGCGAUGGUGAUUUGAAGUCGAAACAACAUAAAUUUAUGGGAAUAAAUGUCACGACAAUACACCUGGCAAAGAAGCGAAUAUCAUAGUUAUUAAAUAGCAAAGGACGGAUCCGGAGAAUUGGCGGAUGUGAAACAUGAGAAAGCAAUUCGGUUAAGGGCACAGCAUGACAUAUACAACUUGCAUGUGGAAGAUAAAAUUCUUUGUUGCAAAAAUAUGUUUCUAUAAUUAGGCUUGUAAAUCAUAAAUGAAGGGAGAAAGAAAGAUAGAAAAAUGAGGUGGACUCAGAAAGGAGAAAAUCAGAAGGAAGAAAAAAAAGAUGCAUCAGUUGGUACUAUGGCAUAUUGGACGUGCAUAGACAGACAGGUGGAGUUAGAGAAGAACAUCUGUGCACCUCUGUUGUUGCUGUCUUGAUUCAAGGCGUGCUACUUGACGCUCCUGGAAAAUGGUAGGAAGGGGAAGCAUUACACUUACACAUAGUAGUAUCUCAGGGAACUGGGGAAGAGAAGAGAGAAAAAGCAGCUGACGUACAAACUGAAGGUUGAGUGGGUUCUUCCUCUCGGAUGGUCUCCCAAAGAGGCGACGAGGCCUCCUAUUUGCAACAGCAUCAGCGGUUCCAGUAGGCAUUCCAUGUUCAGGUGGCAUGUCGCAUGAAUCCUGCAAGAGUGGUUGGGCAAAAGGGCACAUGAGCACAGAGGCAUACACGGAGAGAACAAUACUCAAAUAGAUAGAGAAGUCAAAAGUGUGGUGUGCCGGGGUCAUGUAUGUAUGUAUGCAAGAAUGAAUUUUUAUCCAGACAGAGGUAGACUAGUACGGAGGUUGAGGUGGGAGUGACAGUAGCACGUUGACCAAAUAGCAGAAGAAGCUGCUGGAAGGCCCAUCCCAUCCCAUAGGCAUAGAAAGUUUGACUGGAAGCAGCAAGUUGCAGGUACUAGUAGGUAUGAUUAGGGGAAAAAAAAGUUAAACCCUAAGUAAUGAAGAAUUGAAUAGGGUAUAUUGGAAUGAAGAAUGGUACUGGUAGGAUGAGUAAGGAAAGCAAGCUGAAUGCGAAGAACCCUCCCUUGGGAUUGAGGCGGCAGAAGUAGCAGAUGGUGCAAGUAGCGUAGCAAGCGAGCAUUGCAUGUGGAUCGUGGCUGGACGAGAUGAAAUCGACAACCAAAUGGAGAUGGAUCCAUCGAUCGAUCGGUAGAAUACGGGACGGAUCGCAGAUUGUGACUGCGAAUAGUAUUGAGAAAGAAGCACAAAGCCAGGGAAACCUAAUCCCGUACAAUCCAAUCUAGGGAUUUCUUUGGAAUUGUUUUGGCAUUGGUCUGUUCCUCUCCUGAUGAAUGAAGAAUAAAAAGUAGGAGCAGCAAUAAUAAUCUUAUCCAGUCGUCCGCGGGACGAGGCGAGAGGAGACGGAACUCAGCAGAAUCGGAGCGAGAGCGGCGGCGGCGGCGGCAGCGGCAGCAGCAGCGAAUUGAAAAUCGUACGAGGAGGAGGAGAAAGUCGGGAAGAGGCAUACGCACCCAGAACCAGAAGGCGAAGGAAGGAUCUCCGGUGCGCGAUCUCGAUAUCCCGCGGAACCCAAGGAGGAGGAGAGGAUCCUCCCUCCUAUCUCAUCUUCCGUCUGAUCCCACUCCUCCCUCACGCACACGGCACACACACUCUUGUCUCUCUCUGCCUCCUCGCCUCCCAGGCGCGCCGGCGGUGGUAGGUAGCAAAGAUGGAGAGAGAGAGGAGAAAAAAACAAUUUGAUUUCAAUCAAAUUAUUGAAAAUCUCUUCACCGGAUGGAGAAAUAAAAAAGAAAAGAAAAGUGGGUGACGCGAGCUGAGGUCAGGUGGCUGCUGUCCUUCUCUUCUUUGAGUACUUACUACUAUUAAUUUCAUUUCAUUUGUUUAAAUAAUAAUAGUAAUAAUAAUCUCUUUCUUUAUGCAAAACGGGCCCGCAGCCCAGCCCAGAAAGAGAUUAGAGAUCCCGGGAGGGAGCAGCAGGAUCAGAGAAGAGAAUAUUACGCUGACCAGAACCAGACACAGACAGGACCGGUAGAUGAGGAUGAGAUGAUACACGCUACACUAGCCAAGCUAACCUCCCUUGUUUGUUUUCAGCAACACUCCUACCUUUCCCAAGAAAAGAAAAGCAAAGAAAUCGCGUAUCACCAACCACAUUCCAUUUUCUUGAAGCAUUCCAUGGAGGAGGUACUUGGAGAGCAUGGUUCAGGUUCCCUUCAUUUUUAUUAGGCGCUGAUAUGAUUUGAGAAAGUCUUUUACCAAUCUCUUGCAACAUAUUAUCAAUUUCUUCCCGGCCAAUGUCAGGCCGAUUUAUGUAACUUUACAACUCUGACUAGUUGUUAGUCCAAAUUCCUAAUGCACCAACUACUGAAAAACCAUAGGCUAUCCUAACCUCACCCAGGAGUCCUUAUCAACAAAGCUCAGAUUGAUCUCCAACCAACCUACCACAGAACCUCCAAUCCAUUUCAGUACAGCAUGCAUGUUGACAAGUGCCUUUCUCGUGCGUGCACAUAGCAGUAAAAACAAACCAUCCAAGCAAAAGCCAAAUCCCAUUCCAUUCAGAAGCAAACCAAGCAACAAUAUACAUGCAAGCACCUGACAAAGACAUGCAGCUACGAGAGAUAGGCAAUCAGACGGCACCCGCAUGAAACACGCGCCCCGCGCCUGGGUGUCACCUGGACUGGGAUGAGCCAACAAACCAUGCAAAAGCAAGAUUCAGGGCACCAUCUCAGCAACCAUCCAUCCAGUCCUACCAUGCACACAACUAAUGGCAACUAGUACCAGCAAGGAGAACAUUUACUUGUGAAUUAAGCCUGGCAUGGGUUGCAAAUAUGUAAUGCAAGGUCGGCGAUAUGCCAUCUUCUAAUAACUAGUAGCAGGCGUGCCAUCAACCACAUACAAACCACUAUUCAACACCAAACCAGCAGUAUCAUCUGGCACCCAACCUACCCGCCUACCAUUCACAACCUCAGCAGCACCAGCCAUCUUGCCAAAACACCACCAAAAAGCAGCCCUUUGCCCGCCAGGCCACAACCUUGCACUCAUUGACCUCCAUGCUCACCAAAUGAACCGUUGGUGCAAUGCAAAACCACAUCAUCACCCUGACCCAAUUACAGAUCGCACAUAUACAUACAUGAGCAACAUCACAACAAGCUGCUCAUCACAUUGCUUUCUCUUCAAAAUGUGGCUUUGGAUAACCAAAGAGCAUCAUUGCGCCGCACUGCAUGCCUGACUAACCCACCUGUAAGCUUUCUUGCAAUUAUCCAGAAAGGUUUCAGAAACCCCAUUAGCCAUCCCCAGCUUGCGCCAAGGGAAUACAACACAUUGUGUUAGCAACUGUACAUAUCUUUUUCUACAAUUCUACAUUUUACCUCUUCAAACCAAAGCAUUUAGCUGCCUAUGGAAGCUCCCCUCAACUCCAUCCAAGUCACCAAUAUCCUCAUUAACAAAUCAAAACUUGUCUUCAUUUGAGUAACAUUCUUCAGACCUGUCACAGCAACAAAACAUUUAGUCAAACGAGUACCUUCAGACAGCAUAAGAUCAUACAUGAAAACACACAGAUCAAUGCAAGUAAAACAUCCAAUGGCACCCGCAAGGGAAAAGGGAGGGAAUCUACGUAGCAAAGCAGUUACCAUAAGCAAAAGCAAGAAAAUCGUGCCUCUGUAAAAGAAAUGCAUGCAAUUGCAGCCAUCUUGAUAUAAAACUGGAACUAUUUAUUGCUCAAUAGCUGUAACCUUGGAACCAGUGGCUAGAGCAGCCAAUAAAGCAAAGAGAAAUAAAUGAGCUUGGCCAAUGCAGCAAACAUGAAUAAUGACAAUUUUGACAUCCCACAUUCUCCUAAGAAGAUAAUCUAUCAAAUCAAUAAUAUACAGAGAAAAUGCUCCUAGAGAUUGUCAGAUAUUCUUCUCAGAGCUGACAUGCGCAAUUAGACAAAAAUAAAACACGAUAUUUUCUUCUUUGGAAUGGAGAUGAGCAAUGUUGUACAACAUUAUAGUGAUACUAAUGAGCAUUCAGAAUUUCUAAUCAACAGGAGACAUGAACCCAAAUAACAGUCGUGUGCUUAAAACAAAUUUGGGAUAGGACAAAAGUCACUAGAAUAGGAUGACACAAUAUAGUUUCUAAAUAAACUCUUUUUUUUGUUCAUUUUUGUGGUUGUUUAGAGAGGUCAAUGUCCCACAGUUAUGACUCACUUAGAAAACCAAAAUACACAUGUUGAACUUUCCAUCCUCAUGUGUUCAUGAUCUAAAAGUUAAAACCUACUUUGCAGGCAUAUAGGUUGGUAAAACCUGUAGCAUUAUUUUCAACAAUCCUACAAUAAAUUCAUCAUAAUGAGGUAUAUCUCCUUAUGAUAUUUAUUAUUUGAUUGCAAAAACACACAAUAUCUCCGCAUAUACAUCUAAACAAACUUUACGCAACCUUGCCACCAUGCGAUUACUAUUCUAAUUUACUUAAUGGAAUCGAGAAAAUUAUUUUUUGGAAAAUGACAGGAAUUCGUGUUCCUAUAUGUAUCACUGCGAAAAGUGUGUAUCAAUAUAGAACUCACAUCAGUCUUUGGAAAAACAAAUACACUAACUCUUAAAUCCCAAACAUACUAAAAUUAAUUUCAUACAAAACUAUGCAUGCCUAUGAGGACCUAAUGUAUCUGCUACCCUAUAAUUGAUUCCGAGCAUAAUUCCAGUCUAAAUCUAAACAGCAAACAUACUGCAGUUACUAAAAAGAAAAGGUGGUUGGGGCUUUCAUUAUAGUUAAAUGUGCUUAUCUAAUUGAACUUAGGAACAGUGUUGCAAAGUGAGCACAACAGUCCCAGAAAAAUGAGCUGCAGAAAAAAACCAGACACCACAACAAAACAACAUGAUAUAUAUAGAUAUAAGUUCCAAAUAUUUACUACCAGAACCUCUGGUUAUAACUAAUGCGUCUGAGCAAGAUACAACAAAAACAGUUUGCAAUCCUGAUCCAUACUGGAAGCAACGUUUAAGAUACUGAAAACAUUUGUGUCAUGUGAAACAUGAGCUUACACUAAGCGAGAUUAGUCUGCUGGAUGCUGUUGUCAAGACUAGUUACAUUGUAAAAUGUCCUUUCCAAAUACUAUGGCAGAUCUCAUCUUUACACCCCACGCAAGUGCAUCUUCAUCACAGAACAGACUAACAAAACCACCACUUGUUGCACUCAAUUUAAAUUGCCUCUAGUGCCCCAAACUUCCCAUGUCAAAACCUGCAUAAGCAUCAAACAGUUUUGAGAAAAGUUCAGAUCAUGAGUGAAUAGAUAGAUGAGAGGAUCUAAGACAAACCCAAAGGAAAGAUAACUCAGGCAAAAUACAAAGGCAGCAAAGAGCAAAGGAGAAAAAUGUACCUCAAGCAAGUUCAGUUUACAACUUUAUCAAGAAGGUCUCCAGCAGUUAAGUGUGUGAAUAUCAGACCUGGCUGGUAGCAUCUGAGGAACAACAUGACCUGUGAAAAGAAAAAUAGAAAAAGGCUUUUAAAAACAUAAGGAAGCAUAUACAUGCCAUCCAACAGAGCUGUUCCUUUCCCUAAAAUUGCAUAAGAAUAUCUGACAAGCUCCUAGACAUUGGAGUUCAAGGAGCCUGAUUGUCAGAGGAUCUUAUACAAAUUUAAGAAAAUUCAUAUGAAAACACAGCCCAUAUGGAUUGCAACCAUAAACUCUUUAGAAACCAAAGACCUGGUAGUGGUGCUCCAGAUGGCAAAUGGUUUCGAACAGUAUGUUGAUGAUUCAUAGGAUUCAUUGAAGAUCUGUCAAUGUUCGACCUUGAAUAUCCUACAUGAGAUUUUACUAUUAGUAUCAGUCUAAAAGCUGGUGCAAAAUAACACUUAUACAGCUUAUGGAAGAACAUACCAUCCUGCACAAAUGACCCUUCUGAGCAAGAUAAUGCUCUGCCACCUGCUAGCCAAUUAUUAUGCUGGUCAUCUGGACUGAAGUUACCAGAUGCCAUCCGCCAACGUUCUUCAGAUGGAUAAUGGCUCUGACUGUUUGGAAAGGACUGCACAACAUAAGGAUUGCACGGAGGUGGUACAGCUUGUUGGCCCAUGGGAUUCAUGUGUGCAAUUCGAGGGUGGGAAUGUACGGGUGGCGUUUGCGUAGACGGAAAGGCACUGAAAUUCCCUUGCUGAAAAGGUACACCAGUAGGCCGAAACUGGUAAUUACCACUAGAAGUUUGUGGUGCCAUAAACACGUUGUUGUUUCCAUACUCUGCUGGCAUUGAAGGUACAAAAUUAACCGCAGCUUGUCCAUUGACUGGUCCACCAGGAACGAAGUUCGCUGUAUUUCCAAUACCUUGAAUUGAUGUAUUUCCUGUCAUCUGGGUCAACUGGUUACCCUGCAGCACAAGUCUUGUUUAUUAACUAAUCAAGAACACAUCAUGAUAUGCAAGUAAGUAAAAUAAUUACAUUGGGUGUCCUGAAGUACUCUGGAGCUGGAGGCCGAUAACCCAAUGAUGAUGGAGAUGACGGAACAGGCGGCGGAAUAGAAGGAAGAGGUGGGGCCUGGGUUGGCAGAGGUGGUGGAGCAGGCUGAGGAGGUGGUCCAGAAGGCAGUGGGGGAGGUGGCGGAGGUGGCGAAGCUGGCGAAAGUGGAAGUGGUGGUGGCGGCGGUGGUGUAUCAGGAGGCGGUGAAGGAGGCAAAGGAGGUGGAGGAGGUGGUGAAUCUGAUGGAAGCGGUGGAGGGACAUCAGGUAGAGGGGGGGGCUCAUUCUGAUCAAUCAAUUCAAGCUCUGAACCCGGCUCUUGACUACAGUCAUGUUCAACAAGGAUAGCUCCAUCAGUCUGCUGCUUGCUGCCCAGUAAUUCCAAGGCACCUUCCAUAGCAGCAUCAGCAGUUACAUUCUCUGGUCUAAUCUGUUCCUCAACAGAUGCUGGAGCAACAGUAUCUUCAGCUUCUUGAAUGCCAUCACUUUCAACAGGCUGCGAAAUAAAUGGCGAUGACCCAUUAUUUCGAGGUAAGUCUUCAUCAUCUUCAAAGACUUUUGAUGACAAAAUUCCAGAAAGCUCAAAAGUUGCAUUGCUGAGAACAGAAUAAACAAGAAAGCGUCAAUGAUGACUUGAAAAAAUAGAAAAAAUUGGGGAACUCUGCUGUGCUUCAUAAGGAAAGAAAAAUUCAAAAGAUAAUCAGGAAAGCAGAAAACUUCCAAUACGGGAGUUCAUUUAUUCAAAAAGCAUAUUUUGAAAAUCGUAUUAGUGUCUUUUAUGUGGUCAAAGCAUGUGAUAUUACCAUAGCACAUUCUAGGUUCCACAACACUAUACAUAACAACUACACUCUGUGAUGAACAAAUAAAGCCAUGCAUACGUUGGGAAGGUAAUAGCACUGAUGUGCUUGUUGACUUCUUAAACUAAAAAGAUACAGAAAAUCUACUUCAUGUCAAAAUAUGGCCCCAACACGAUUAUUACUAUCCAGCACAUACUAACCAAGGAAACCUAAAAUAUAAUCAAACAAUAUGGAUAAACAUCAACUUUUAAGUUGUAUAUCCGGUCGUCAUAUACUAAUCUUAUAAUCAAACUCGUUAUAAAUUUAAAAUAUUCAGUUGAUGAAUCCACCAGAACUUACAUCUCAAGCUAGAAAAAUAAAAAUAGUCGAAUGAGGUAUAGAACUAGUAAAUGGUAUAUCAUGUUAUGUGAUACCUUCCAUACUCAUCAACAAGCAUGUCAUCCAUCUCCCUAAUAGGAUCAUCUACAGAGCGUUCAGCGCGGGAUGGUCGCUUCAACAUAAAACUAGUGCUAGUAUUAUCAUUUGGCACCUCAAUAUCGCCCAUGUAUUUUCGGAGUAUGUCUUCAGGCAUAAUCUUUCUCUCAAGCCACAAUCUUAGAACCUACAAAGCCAGGUGAGAAAAAAAAAAGUGACCUACUGUUAAGGAAAAACGAACAGAAUCAGUAGUAACGUCAAUACUUUAAGGCACUGGCGCCGGUUUUCGCGAGCACCAGCUCCAGGUGGAGCAGCAGCACCCAAAAGACGAGGCAAUGCAGCUUGAACAGUGGGAACAUAUGAAGCCCCGGCAACACCUGAACAUUUCAGAAUUCAGAUGAUAGGGACAAAUUUUGGGGCAUCAGAUAGCUCUGAGAACAGGAUUAAAUGUAAUACCUAAAAAAAAUUACCUCUCUGAGAAUGCGAACACUGGGUUAUAGAAUCCACAAGAAAAAGGAGGUCAAUUCUGCGAUGCAAAUUAGGCUCUCUCUCCAACUUCUGUACGAGAAGCUCGACAAUCUGGAUAAGAAAUAGUAAGGACAGUAACGAUGUAACAGUAAUGCAGAUGGCAUGUAAGUUCGUAAGCAUGUGUGCGUGCGCGCGCACGCGCGCGCGUGUGUGUGUGUGUGUGAGAGAGAGAGAGAGAGAGAACCUCUCCAGCAAUGCCAUAUUUAGAGCACUCAAUUGCAUGGCGUGUUGCACGGCCUAUACUCUCCUUUGUCCUCGAUAGUGUCUCUAUCAUUCCUUCCAAAGCAUCACGAGCAAUCGCUGCAUCAGUACCAAUGCUAGGUGAACCGCUGACCUGCCUAGAUUUGGGACUCUUUCCAUGCUCAUGGUCAAGCUCCGUUGGGCUUUUCAGAACAAUACGUUCACCAGGACUCUCGGGAAAAGCAAUUCUGGAUGGGGAUGGAAUGCGAAAAACAGGACUAGGGCUUAGUCCCGGCAAACCAUAUUGUGUGGAGGUCAUACCAGCAUUAUCAGUCAAAGACCCAUCAAACUUUCCAUGAGCAGAUGCCAUAAGGUUCCUCCUUGCUUGAGCAGCUGCAAUAAGAUGUUUCAUUGACUUGACAGAGUCGGAGUUAGGUUCAGAAGAAGCUGCUUUAUCAACAGAAAUGGACCUGCAAAAGAGAAAACCACAAACUAUCAACAAAGUGCACAUCUAAAACUGUUGGAAUGCAAAUAGAUGAGUAUCAGUAAGAAACUUGGUCAAUUCAAAAUUCAAAGCAGUAUACCUUUCCUCUUUUAAGUGAUCCCGCUUCGCACCCCGUUCAGCUGACACAGUGACAGUGGUGCUCACCUUAUGCUCAACAGCCUGUGCCCCAGGCUUAGAUUUAGCCUUCGUGUCUUCUGAUUUGGGCAGCGAGUUUUUUUCUGAGGCAGGAUAGUUUCGAGAAUGGGAGUUCCCAGAUGUUAGGUGCAAUUGUUUAGAAGAACUAUGAAUUUUCUUCACCUCAGAGGAUGUCGGCAUUUUUACUUGACCAGAGGAUUUGCGAUCAACCAGGUUUGUUUUGUUACCCAUGCCAGCAGAAGUAUCGACUGAGCCUGUGAUUGAUCUUCUUCCAAUUGCCUGGUGUCUGGCAUGCAUUUUAUCCUGACUCGGUGAAGAACAAACUAGCUCCUGCCUCACAGGUGACAUUCCAACACUUUUAGAUUUCUCUUCUCUUGCCGGGCCCGAUUUUUUUAUAGAAGCAUUGCCAGCAUGAGAUGAAAUUUUUCCCCGAGUACCUGCCUUGUCAGCAGGGACUAUAUGUGUAGAGAUAGAUUUGGCAGAAGUUCUAUGAAGUGGUGUUCUCUGUCCUUCAUCCUCCUCAUCAUCAAAGCGACAAGCCCUUCUCUUGGGUUUGGCCGAUUGCCUAUCAACACGUGAGGCAUCCUCCUUCAUGAUUGAACCCUUUUUAGCAGAAUCAGCAACAGUUGACUGAGUUGCAGAACCAGAUGUUGGUUCCACAACCUCGGAAUGAAGCCUUGAUACGGGUGAUAAGACACUCCCUGAUCUCCGUGCCCUACCAUCACUGAUACCAGUCUUAGGAACCGUAUUUUUACCUGUUUCUACAGUGGUAGACCUCUCAUAUUUCAUAGCAUUAUGCUUUUCACAAUCAAUGCUUAACUUUGUGUCACUUUGGGCAACUGUCUUAUCUGUUUCACCACCUCUGUCCAUAAGUCUUGGCUUUUUUGCUGGACGAGUAUCAGUAAUACAGUCCGUGGUGCGCUGCCCGCUACCAGGAAGAGACUUCUUAUUGGAAGAAAAUCCAGCAGAUGAUUUUCUACUCAACUGCUUAUCAGGCUUGCCGUGCACAAUUUCAUUAUGGUCCCUUUUCUCUGAACCAGUAGCAAGUGAUUGUUUUGUCAUGAUUUUGGACUUUUUAAAUUCUCUGCUCUCUUUGUCAGCACCCAUGUUUAAUACGUCAGAUGCAGCCUCAGGAGCAGUCCUUCCAGUAGAACUACCAAUAUCAGCACGCUUUUCCUUCCUUUCAGCAUUCCUCAACAGCUUGUUCGCUUUAGAUUUCUUUGGCACUUCAAGGGCACAAACUACCUCCAAGUUAGGGUCCAAAACAAAUCCUUCUGGCGGACAGCUCUCUUUUUCAUUUUUUACCUCUUCAUCCCUGUCUGCACGCACAGAAGUUGGUGAAUGCUCCUGUUCUCUGUACAUGUCAAGUGCAGACUUAGAUGCAACAGGCUUUUUUGUCUUGGGAUGCUCGGGAUCCUGUAGUAAAGAUGUUUUCUUUUGAGAAACUGAUAAAGAAUGACCCCCUAUUUCAUGACCACCAUCUUUCACGUCCUCAGCCCCUGACCCUUGCCCUGAAGCAAUUGAGUCAUCAGUAGGGCUAUCAGCUUCCAUUCGUCCCAAUCCUAGAUUCUCACCAUCAUCAGGUGACCUCACAAGGUGCUCUGUAGUCUUUUCACUCUGAUCAGGUAAUGCUCCACUUGCAGCUUCAGAUGAUUUUGGCAGCUCAUUAUAGGCCUUGCAGAUCUGCUCCACAGCUUCAUUAUAAGCUCGGACAUAUUUUUUUUGCACUUUAAUACUCGGAGCUCGAUCUAACAGAUCAUCCUUUGCCUUCUCCGUAAAUUCUUGAAGAUCUGCCAGAGGUACAAAAGCACUGCAGGAUGAUAUUUGUUCAUUAGCAACCAAGUGAUCAUAGGAAGGAAACACACCAAAUCAAGUGUUUAUCGUAGCAAGUAAAAACAAAUGCUUUAUUCAGCAAUCGUUUUACGAAUUAAAGCAACCUAUUGCAUUAAUCAAAAUUAAGUAAUAACUCUAUCAGUAUCAGCAUUAUCAGAAUAUAUCUAUAUAGUAUAACAUGGAAAACAGCUGCACGAACAAGCUUAAACAAGAUCAAGCUACAAAGAAAUAAAAACCAUUAUUGGUUAAUAUUUUGGAUACUACAGGCCUUAAGAGCGGUCCCGAGCAUUUUAUGGACUCAGUAAGCAAAAUAUGAGGCAUAAAGCAACAAAGUGAGGUAUUUCAGGAAUCAAUUUCUAGCAAUAAAUUCUUUCAUCUCCAACCUAAUAAAGAAAAUCAAGCCUCGUGAUUGGCCAUGCAAACAGCAGCAAGCAACCUAACAUCCACAGUUUAUACCUAUAUAUUGCACGAGUUUUUACUCUUUAAACUAAUGGGUCGAUUUGGCACAUACGCACAAAAAAAAUCUAACAAUUGUUAGUUCAUUAAGGGUAAACACCACCAGGAAGAUAGCCAGGUGGAGUCAGCUUGGAAGGAGACUAGACUAUUGGGGGACUUGGGAUUAAUUCUUCUUCAUUCAUUGACUAUAAUGUGGAUACACAUAUAUAGUCUAACAAUGCCUAAUCUAAUCCAAAAACUUAAUCUAAUUAUCCUAAUUAAUCUGAUCUGCUGCCGCAUGGGUUAUUGUGCAUGUGCCUCCUCCCUGGCUAGCUGGCCCACUUGCUGGGUUAGCCCAUAACAACCAUCUAAGCGAACUAGUCAGACAAAGUAGAUGUGAAAGGUGGUUGAUUAGAAUUGAAACUCCAAUUCCACCUGUCUAAAUUUACAUUUUUCUUUAAGAUGUUGAUGUAUAAAAGCCGCUUUGCCAAAAGAGAAAGGGUGAAGGAUUCUGUUCUCCCUAGAACUGCAAAGUACAUAACUAGCUAUUCAAGGACCCCCAUGCAGCUCAGCAACAGAAAAAUUGGGAGGUGCACGAAAACUGUAAAUUUGACAAGUGCAUGAAAAAUUGCAGGCAACAUGCAUAAACAUGUACUCUCUUGUCGUCAUCUGAACCGUCUAGUUGUCUGAGCUAAACGACACUGAAGAAUAGCGUGCUAAACGUGAUUCAUUGCACGGCAGAAGACCUUUUAAUAUCCAUCUCCCCAUCAGUUCCCAACAGCAAACGCGGAAUCCAGGUUUGUGACGUGUUAAACAUACAGUCAUAAAUAUAAAUAGAAGUAGAAAAGCCCCUACAUUCAUACAGGUUGGACGACCAGGCUUAGUUAUUAAACAAGUAAUAAGUAACCAUCCGAGUGAAAGUUUUAGGCGAUUCAUAUACUAAGCAAGCGUGUUAGGCACGUGAACCAAUAAGGAAUGAAUUGAUGAGUUGCAAGAAUGGCAGUUACAAUAGCGGGAAACAACUGAUAACUAAGGUUAGCUGAUGCUGCUGGUCAGAAAUUGGUCGUUGGUGGUGUUAAAUGCAACUGGUAACUAAGGUUAGCUAGCAACUAUAUGCCUACUUUCCUGGCCUCAUUUUGCGCAUCAUGUGGACCAUGAAGCCUUGGCAUCGAAUAAACAUAACUAGCGCCCCCAUGUAACUCAGCCACAAAAAAAUUGGGAGGUGCACGAAAACUGUAAGUUUGACAAGUGGACAAUAAAUUGCAGGCAUAAACAUCUACUCCCUUGUCGUGACCUGAACCGUCUAGUUGUCCGAGCUAAAUGACACUGAAGAACAGGACGCUCAACGUGAUUCAUUGCAUGGCGAAAGACCUUUUAAUCUCCAUUCGUACCCAACAGCUAACAUGGAAUCGAGGUUUGUGACGUGUUUAACAUGCAGUCGUAAAUAUAAAUAGAAGUAGAAAAGCCCCUACAUUCAUACAGGUUAUUAAAAGAGUAAUAAGUAACAUCCUUACAGUGAAAGUUUUAGGUGAUUUGUAUACCAAGCAUGCGUGUUGGGCACGUGAACCAAUAAGGAAUGAAUUGAUGUGUUGCAAGAAUGGCAAUUGCAAUAGCGGGAAACAACGGUAAGGUAGAGGAGGUCGCCGGGCAAAGAACUUACAUCUCUCUGGUGCCGUAGAAGUAGACGAAGAACUUGCGCGGCGUUGGCGUUUGGCCCCACUCCUCAGGCCUGCUGAUCUGCGGAGACAGGAAUGCAGAGCGUUAGUUGAUCCCGCGUCAAGGGGUGAGGUGGAAAGGAAACCCUAGCCCAGCAGUAUGAGCGGCGGCAGCAGCAAUGGAGAGAGAGUACCUUGGCUGGCCAGGCCGGGUAUCCCUUGAUCUUGGCGAGGACGAGGUCGCCGAGCUGCGGUUCCCUGGUCCACUUGCGACCCUGCUUGGCGCCGCGCCUACCGCCGGGAGGCAUUGGCGGCGGGGGAGGAUGCCCCUCCCCCCAGCGUCGGGCCCUAACCUAACCCUAGCAGCAGAGAGCGGCGGGGGCGGCGGCCCCGCCCUAGGGUGGGAAGCCUCGCGGGUGGGAAACCCAGGCACCCGCGACCCUAGGGUAGGGAAAGGGGCGGCGGCGGUAGUCGGGCGCGGGUGGCUGGCGAUGGAAUCGGCGGGCGGAUUGCGUGCGAUCCCAGCCGCUUCCGCUUCCUCCUCCGCUUUGUAGUAGCUGCUGCUAGGAAUCGCUUGGAUGAGGAUGGGGAUGUGGCGGCGGCGGCGGCUGCCUCUUCUUCCUCCUCGCCUCGCGUCUCCUCCUCCUCCUCCUCCUCCCCUGCGGUGUGCGGUGCGUGCGGAUGCGGCUUGCUCUGCUGUUGUGCGACUGCAGUGUGGGCCCCGCUUCCCUUCCCCCUUCCUCGUGCCGUGCUCAGGUCAUUUCAUCAUCGGAGAAGACUCCCCAGCAGCCGCCCGAUCUGCAUCGCACGGCAACAACAGAAAGCUCGUGCCAGAUCGGAUGCCACGCCAUCCCCCUCCACUUUUAUCCCAUUUUCUUGCAGAUUGAAGAGUAUCUCGACCCUUAAGGGCUAAGGGUUAUUAACCCUGCGUGGUUUUCCACGGAUGGGGAUUUCCCUGGUUAAUUUAUUUCCUUUGAUUUUCCUGGGCACCGCUGCCCCCUUCCCCUUUGCUGUUUGGCACCAAAGAAAGAAAUUAAAAGGAAAUUACUCUACUCUGAUAUAUAUAUAUAUAAACCCUAUAUAUAUAUAUAUAUAUAUAUAUAUAUAUAUAUAUAUAUAUAUAUAUAUAUGAUAUGUGGAGAGCAGCAAGAUCUUUCUGCCUUGUGAAAAUUGACAAACACCACGAGAAACUUCAUGCUUAUCUAACAACAACUAGAGACCAUACAAUAUUUGUCUUCCCUGCUUAACCCAGACUACAGCACAUAUGUGUUGCACAGUUACGACUACGACACAUAGUAGAAACAGAGCAUUCAAACAUAUGGAAGUGAUUCUUCAGCUUCCUGAGCUCCUCCUUGACACAGAUUUGUAGUCUUUCUUCCACAUAGGGAAGUGAUUCUUUAGCUCCUUGAGCUCAACAAGAUAGCAUUCAGUUACGACAAUGAUUAGCAAUGUCAAAUGUCUCAUGGUAAAAACUUGCAUACUUUGACUAGCAGUUAUUAGCAGUAUCAUUUAAAUCAUUGGCAAUCACUAGCAUACUUUGACUUGACAUCUGCUUACUAAUGUAAAUUGCAUGACGCGAAGCCAUUUCAGCAGUUGAGUCAGAAUUAUACAACUAUAUAUGAUAGGUGUUCCGGGUGGACGUCCAAAUUACCUGAACAGAUACCAUUUUUCAGCAUUCAGACAUUGCAAACAGUGAUUCACUUUACACUCAGACAGAGUAAUAAAACUGUAAAAGUACACUUCAAUUCGUUACUAGCACACAUAUGGAUGGAAAAUGCACUAGAAGAAAUAAAAGAUUUAAAGUACCAAUGCAUUGCAGAUCUCACUAAUCAGCUUUGCUAGGUAGCAUCUAAUUUGCCAUUUUUAAAGAGAUAAGUACCUUUGGGAUCUUGGCAACUGACUCUCGGAUCAUGUAGUGCUUCCCACCAGGACUCUGCAAUUAAAAAAAAAGUGAAAUAAUUUAGCCAUGUCAGCAGCAGAAGGUUCACACAAAGUAAAAUUUUACAUGGUUAGACAUGAUGAGACAAGUAAAGUUUUUCAUGAACCAUACACUGAGCAUAUUCAAAGAGACAUACUUGAUUUUUCGCUUUAGCCACAUUAAUCGAACAUUAAGAUUCUUGGUUGUAAUGAAUAUCUUCCUACGUGUCUCGGACUCAGAGACAUCCAAAGCAAAUGACUUCUCCUCAUCGGUUAAUUCAACCAUAGCAUCCACUUGAUUGACACACUUCUCAACUGAAAAUUCUUCCUCACACAUUUUCCUUUCUUCAAGAGCUUGCAAAGUUUUGUUGGUUUGGCUCUUUUUGUACUCCACAUAUCCCUCAAGAUCGGAGCCGAUGUGACUUUUCUUACACUUUCUCCUACUUCCACCUUCUUCCUGUCUUGAAUCUUGAGCUUCAUUGCGUUCAUUAUGUGCAUUAGAAGUCUCUUGGCCAUCGAAACUCAAAGAAAAUGGACUCGCACCCAAGUGACUGCUGCUUUGUUCAGAGUUACUUCUUUCAACAAGAGGUGCAGGAGGAGGAACAGUAGGAGCAACAGGAGGAGGAGGAGGUGCAGGAGCACAAGGUGGAUCCACUUGCAUGGUUGAUGUGAAGUUUAGAUUUCCUGUAGCAACACUUCCUAUUUUCAAGAGACAAUUGGAACUCAUAUUAGAACCACAAAAUUAUUUGAUGCUGAAAGCAAUAAAUUAAGCUAUGCAAGUGAGGGGACUUCAUUAGUGCUACCAAUUGGUAAAAGAGGGGAAAUGGCUUUUUGCGAAACUUUGCUACUCUUGGGUGAUUCUAUUGAAUGUAACAGAAAAGGAUAAUUAGUUAACAACAAAAACUUAGCUACUUCUUAGUAUAUUUUAUAGAGUCCAAAUGGCCUACUGCAAUUAGCUUCUCCCAUACUUGUGGUUCCGUUAGUAUCGUACACAAAGAUUCAUUCCAACCAUUACCACUGUCUCUUUUAGCAUCUCUUAGUGCUUUGUAAUUAGCUUUGAGCAUCUUCUCCUUUUCAUGUACCUACUUCUUUGUAAAAUGAGCUACGGGAAACUUCUCAUUGAACUUGCUGGUGAUAAUCCUCCAACCCUCUGAUACCCAACCAUUCUGACCUUUAUAUUUGGGGUUAUCUUUGUAGUCAAGUAAUAUUUUAACAAAAUGUUUCUCAUCCUAUCAGCUUAACCUGCCAUGGCUGCAUUUCUCAAAACAUGUUAAGAUGAAGUACAAAGAAACAUAAUCAAGAUCAAGGUGCCUCAAAAAAAGAAAUUCAAGUACAAAGAUAACAAUUGCAUUAAAAAUGCACUUAUUACAAUAAUGUUUGCAGUAGAAAGUUCCAAAAAUUACAUAAGCAAAACAUAUACAAACUAGAGGAAUCAAACUAGACUAAAUAUUAUUAUUAUAAGCAACCCACAUUUGGUGUGCAAUCUGAUCUUUUAGACUACUACCAUCGUUUGACUCCGCCUUACUUGGAUAGUGUUGCCCCCCUCCGGCACAUUAACAUAUUGAUCUGUUGGGAUAUACUCUGCCACCCCUCUUGACCAUUUUACCCUCUAAUUAUAUUGUGAAAUGCAACUACUGCAGCUGCAAUCUUGAAUUGAUUUUCUAUGGGAUGGAAAGUGCCUACUUUUAGAAUCAGGAACCUCUUCUUUAGAACACCAAUGUCCCUCUCUAUAUGGUUGCGAAGCAAUGCAUGGCGAUGGUUAAACAGUUCUUUGUAGUUUGCAUAACCACUUUAAGACGAACGACGCCUUCUAAACUCACUGAGAUGGUACCGAACUCCUCGAUAUGGGGCAAUAAAGGAUGAUGUAUUUGCGUACCCACCAUCUACAAGAUAGAACUUCCCCUCUGGCAUAAUAAAUUCUUUGCUAACAGCAGAUCUAAGGAUUCCUGCAUCUGAUGCUGACCCUUCCCAUCCACAUGAAAUGAAUGUGAAGUUAAGAUCGAAGUUGUAGGCUAACAUAACAUUAUGUCAUAGGGUUCCUUUCCUAUUUCUGUAGGGAGGGACCUUGUCUUCUGCGAUGGUGAUUGGUAUGUGAGUGCCAUCGAUUGCACCAAUGCAAUUCUGCGCGGAAGGAAAAAAGAUAAGGACUUGGCACGCAAAGAAAGAAAAGAUUGGGGAAAGGAUUAUGCACACCUAAAAGAAAGGCAUAAAACGAGGAUCUGUCGCGAUUUUGAUAUGAGUUUGGAAUGAACUUGGAAAUCUCACAAAUCGAUGAGUUAAGGCAGGAAUUAUUUUGAAAACUUCUGUUAUUUUCCUAUGGAUUGUCUCACCGUUGUGUUGAAAAGCUUUCUGUAGCCUUUGGUUGCUAGUAUUGUGUGAGAGCAUAAACAUGAACAUCCCAAGCUGCUCCUCAACAGGAACACCUCAUGUGUCACGGAGUAAAGUUCGUUGUGACUUUAAAUAUUUCAGGCUCCAUUUGGAACUCAACUUUACACCAACUUGGGUGCCCUUCAAGGAUUUCCUUAACCUUUUUGGCACCAGGAAGAGAAGAUGUGUGCAUAGGCAUUUUCUCUUCUUGUAGGUAUGGAAUUAUGGCAGGAACAAGUAAAAAAAUAGCUCAUCAUCCUCUUCCUCCUCCUCCAACAGGAACUGUCUAACUUGCUCCUCCCAAGAUCCCAUUAACUAGUGUAUAGUAACCCAUCAAAUAGAACAAUAAGAUUAGGCUAACAAACCAAUAUAGUAACCCAUCAAAUAGAACAAUAAAUCAACAACAACAGCUAGUCAACAACUUUCAGCUUGGAUUUCACCAUAUAGCCUAGGUCUCUAGAAAAAUAGGUUCCUAAAAGAUUUCAUACAAGGCUACAACCUCAUAAAUCAUGAAUUAUCAGAAAGGACAAAAAAGAUGAUGGAAUCAAACAGGACUGCAUACUUCAGGGUGAUGCACGAAUAGGGUUUUCAAUUAAUAGAAUUCAGCUAGCUGACAGCAUAUGAGCCAACUUGACAUAGUAAAUAGCAUUCAGCAUCACAUGUCAGUACUUCCCAAAUAAAAGACAAAGUGCUCAUUUUUUUUCUAACCACAAUAUGGCUAUAAUCAAUUCAAUCUCCAAUUCCACAAAUCAUCAGAAUUCUGUGCGGUCAAAUUAAUAGAAUAUCAUACAUUGCAAGCUACAAAUUUUGGACAGACCAUCUCAUCUGAAGUAUCUCUAUAAGCUAUGACCUAAACAAUAAAUAAAUAUUUUACAGACCAUCUGAAGUAUCUCUAUUUACAUUGCAAGCUACAAAUUUUGGACAAAAGAGCUACACUUUCAGGGUUUAGAUCACGGAAAUCAACUCAAUCAUGCAUGCAUCCAAAAGAUAUGUGCCAGAAGUUGGCACAACACUCUGGAAUAUGGAUUGUUGUCAAUGAAGAAAAUAUCUGAGAAAGCUUGUGCAGUAACAUAGCUGUUGUAAGCUAUGACCUUUUUGCACAUAAAUUAAAGAUUAGUGCAAACAUUACAUCCUGAGCCAACUGGCCACAACCUAAAAUAUGCUUUGCAAAAUAAAUUCUCAAAUCAGUAGUUCCUUUGUGGUUUUCGCAAAAUGCACAUGGUUUUGUAAAGGUCACUCAAGUAAUUUACAAUACAUAUCUCAACAUUCUAAAGUUCAUAUGCACAUAUCAGGUAAAAACCUACAAUAUGCUGCACUCAACAGUCAUGAAUCUUCCACAUAACUCAAGAAGACAGAUAUCUUCAACUUUGAGCCAAAAGAAAUAUAUUAUAGAUAAGAGCGUGAGCAGAAAAGGAGCAAAUCAACAGUUGGACAAUUUUUUGAUGACUAAGCUAUGAAUCACCUAAUGGUUGAUGGGGAGGCAGAGGUGGCAGCGGAGUCUGCCGCCAUAGGAAUCGAGUCAUUGCUGGAGUAGAACCCUAGCAAGAAAGUAAAUGAACGUGAGAAGAGGAAUAAGAGGAUUCGAAGAUGGGGAUUAGGGAGAAGGGAUGCAGGAGGUACAUCUGGACCUGGAUUCUUGGAGAGAGCACACGGGAGACGGCAGCGGUCGGCAAUGGCGGUGGGCGGUGCUACUCGCUCGCGUCUCUCGCGGGUGGAGGAGACGAGGAACAGGGAGACAGGGAAGGCCACCUGAUGUUUGUAGGUCGGGCGUCUUUCCGCGGGGCAAUUAGGCUCGGCUAGGCUGGAGUCCGCCGCAAAGCAGGCUGCCAAACACGCAAGCCCGACGCUGUGUGGAAAUAAUUCGCAUGGGCUUCCGGCGCGCGGAAAUGGCCGGUUUCCCCGCGGGGAACUGGGCUUCCAAAGGAGGGUGAUUUAAUGACUCAAAAUUAAGUGUCUAACAAAGUUUCAAGUGCAUUAGUAGGUUUAAAAGGAUUAUUGGUCAUGAAGCACUUGUGAUGGACCCCUCAAAAGGAAAUUAAAUGAUAAACAACAUAUUCUCAAGUCUAAAUUUAUUUUCGGUUUGAAUUUGAGUAUAGGAAUGCCACACUAUUAAGAGGGAUACUGGUCUUUACGUUGAAAAAGGUGCUCAAGAUGACCUAACAAACCUAUGAGAGACACCCUUUGCACCUACACAUCACAUGAGGAUACUUAGUGGUGCUAACAUGAGAGUUCCAAAAUUUUUCAGAAUAUUCCGGAGGCUUAGAGUUUCCGGAGGUCCGGAUUUUCCUAGAAAGUUUUUCGGAAAAUUCCGAAGGUUCUAGAAGUUUCCAAAGAAAGUUCUAAAACUUAACCACCAACAGCUAGUUUCGGGAUGAAAGGGUAUAAAUACCCCCUCAACCCCUCCCAUUCAGUCUCUCUUGCCUCCUCACUGUCCUAAAAGCUUCGAAAGCAUUCACUCCUCUCUUUACUCCCCUCUUGGCCUUAGGUAAAGAUUUGGUGGGGGAUUUAAGGAGGGAUUCUUGAGAGAGCAAGGGAGUCUGCUAGUGAGCUGAAACUCCAUCUCUUGAGCACCUUUGUUCUUCAAAGAGCCGGCGUUCUGCGUUUGUUACUCUUGGAGCUUUAAGCUCCUAGCCGGUUAGGCGUUGCCCAGUUGAGCAUCCAAGUUUUGUGGCUGCCUCGGGAAGUUUGUAUUACCUCGACGAUUGAGUAAGUGACUCUACCUCGAUUUUUGUGGUCGCUAGAGCGAGGAAAGUGGCUUAGGAGUGAAAAGCUCACCCUUCGUGGGUCCUCAACGGAGACGUAGGCUUCAAGGUGUGAAGCUGAACUCUGAGAAACAAAUCUUUGUGUCUCUUGUGCUUGUUGUUCUUAAUUUCAUUCAUAUUCAAGCAUAGAAUAUAUUUCUAGGGUUUGUGCUCGACCUAAUUUUCUAGCAAGUUUAGAGCUGUGCUAUCUUGUGUCAAAGGCUUAGAAUAACCUGUUGAACAACCUAUAUUCAUCCAUUUACUUUUCAGCAAGUUUAUCUUGAGGUGUAGUUGAUUUCUGUCAAAGUCCAGAAAAAUCCGAAGAUUUCUCCGAAAAUUUCCGGAAGUUGCUGAUAAGCUUGUUCGAAAGUGUAAAAAUUUUCAGGUUCGACUAUUCACCCCCCUGUAGUCGACAUCCUAUAUCCUUUUAAUUGGUAUCAGAGUUUUGGUCUCCGGAUUAAAGCUUAACCGCUUGGAGUAUCAAGAUGUCGACAUCGGGGAAUCAAGAAGUGCCUCUAGGAGGUGAUGUCUCCAACCCAAUCGCCACUCAACAAUCAUAAUGUUCUAGUUGUAGUCUUGAUAACUCUACGGAUGGGAAAACCUCGUACACCCCCCAGGGGAGCGUGAGCAGUGGGCCCAUUGGUAGCCAAAAGUGUCCCCAUUGUGUGCCAAGCGCACAAUCACCUUGGUAAGCAUACAUAAAUUUGAAGCGGACUAAUGUGCAUUGUCAAUGUCGCUUUUCAUGGUUUAUGAGGCUCAUGCAUUCAUGGGUCCUAAUACGCUCGCGAUGAGUCCCACUAGCACAUCGAUCACUUGUUGCAUGAAACAGCGAAGGAGUUGAAGCUAUGGAGCUCCAUAAAGGUCGGCAGUAUUCGCACUCAGAUUCAGGUUGCUAAGGAGGUUAUUUUCUGCCUUGAAGUAGCUCAAGGCCUUAGGUCGCUAUCCCCGGUUGAGAAAGCUCUUCGCCACUUAAUCAAGCUUAGAUUUCUUGGGCUCAUCUCCCUAGAAUGCACCGUCGCUCGCCAAUGAUCCUCCAUGCGGUGGCUACAUGAUGGCGACGUUAAUACCAAGUUCUUUCAUCUCCAUGCGAAUCAUCAUCGACGGAAAAACAAUAUUACUUCGCUGGAGGUGGAUGGGGUCAUUCUUACGGGGAGGAAGAGAAGGCAGAGGCAAUCUUCAACUACUUUGAGGGGAUUCUGGGCUCCUCUUAUGAUAGGACAUGCGUUCUCAACUUCAGGACCCUUGGCCUCCCCCGACUAGAUCUUUCUAACUUAGGUAGCCCAUUUACAGAAGUUGAAAUAUGGGAUGUCAUUAGAGAAAUACCUCCGGAUAAGGCUCUCGGCCCGGACAGAUUUACUAGUCGCUUCUAUACUAUGGCUUGGCCGAUGUUCAAGUAUACUAUGGCUUGGCCGAUCAUCAAGGGGGAUAUUAUCAGGGCUUUUGACGCCCUCUCAUCAAUGGACUGCCGAAGCUUCUACCUCUUGAAUGACGCACUACUAACAUUGCUGCCAAAGAAAAAUGACCCAUCCUCCCUGGGUGACUACCGUCCCAUAAGUCUCAUCCAAGCUUCGGCAAAAUCUUCCCCAAAGUUCGAGCUAAUUGUUUCGCUAUGAAUUUAGGUAGCUUAAUAUCACCUAACCAAAGUGCUUUCAUCAAAGGUCAUCAAAUUCAAGAUAACUUCUGGUAUGUCCAGGGUACGGUGAAGACUUUAGCUUCAAAAAAGAUGCCCAGGAUAAUGUUUAAGAUUGAUCUGGCAAAGGGUUUUCACUCGGUCUCUUGGGUCUUCCUUUUGGAACUAGGAUGCCCAAGAAUUUGGACUAACCGGAUCUCCACGUUGCUUUCCAUGGCGAGCACCAAGGUUCUUCUCAAUGGUGUCCCUGGGAGGAGGAUUUUCCAUGGUCGCGGGCUGAGGCAGGCGGACCCCUUCCCCGAUGCUCUUUUUACUUGUGAUGGAAUGCUUCAAUACCAUGGUCAACUUAGCGGAGGAAAGGGGUCUUCUCGACACGCUAGGCACUAACAUCAGACAUAGGACUUCACUCAAUGCGGAUGAUGUGGUUUUGUUUCUCACACCGGCAGAACAAGACCUCGUAGUCGUCAGGGAGAUCUUGACCUGCUUUGAAAAGGCUACCGGCUUAUCUACUAACUACUCGAAAAGUCAAAUGUUCCCCAUCAUCUGCUCUGACGAACAUAUUAACCUGGCCAAGGAAACAUUGCGGUGCCAAACCUCGAAAUUCCCUUCUACAUACUUGGGCGUUCCGCUAUCGAUUCGCAAGUUGCCUAAGUCCUCGCUACAACCGCUGGUCGAUAAGGUCGCUAAGCACCUACCCGCUUGGAAAGGGAGGCUGCUUAAUAAGAGCGGGCAUCUGACUCUAGUGAAGUAUACACUGUGUGCGAUCCCGGUGCACAUUUCUAUGGCCACAGCUAUUUCCUCUUGGGCCGUUAAGAAUAUUGAAACCUUGAUCACGGGAUUCUUGUGGUGCGGUACUGAGGUCGCUUCUGGUGGGAAAUAUGCGGUCACCUAGGUUAACGCCUUCUGCCCUACUGUCUAUGGAGGUCUUGGCAUCCUGAACUUACAGCUGAUGGGUUUGGCGCUUAUAAUGCGUUGGAUGUGGCUUGCGCGAAUGGAUGAUACGAGGGUGUGGAGAGGCUAUCGACUCCCAACUUGCCGGCUAUCUAAAGCCUUCUUUGAUGCCACUGUCACGGGCGUGGUGGGUAACGACUAUUGAGCCUUGUUCUGGUCAGACCGUUGGAACAACGGUUGUUGUAUCCAAUCUCUGGCGCCAAACCUUUGGGCAGCCGUACCACCAUGCAUAAGGAAUAAGCGCACGGUGUGUGAGGGGCUGACCGAUCAACAUUGGAUUAGCGACAUCUCAUAUGCUCUCACGGUACAGGUAAUUCUGUAGUACCUGAGGAUAUGGGAUUUGCUUCAGGGUUGGACUUUAAACCGGUCACCAGACAAGUUCGUAUGGAAGUGGUCACCAUCUGGGGAGUUUUCUUCCGCUUCUGCUUAUAAAGCACUUUUCCUGGGCAGGUCGCAUCUCCUCGCGGCGCAACAACUUUGGAAGGUUCAGGCCCCAGGUAAAUGCAAGUUCUUCAGAUAGCUCAUUCUACAUGGUCAUUGUUGGACUUCUAAUCGUCUCCGUCGCCAUGGGCUCCGUGACAGAGACGAUUGUGCUCUGUGUGCACAAGAGAUGGAAACUAUAGAUUAUUUGCUCACCGGUUGUGUACAUAGUCGGAAAACGUGAUUUCACACUCUUUGUUAUGUGAACGUCCAAACAUUAGUGCCCCAAGAGGAAGGUGCGGUCGCUUCAUGGUGGCUACAAUCUCAGAAGAGGGUGCCUAAACCACGUCGGAAAGGGUUUGAUACCCUGGUUUGGUUAGUCGCUUGGUCGUUGUGGCGGGAACGGAACUGUCGGGUGCAUGACCGAUCCACUCUACAGCCGGUGGUGUUAGCUCCCGCCAUUCUGGAUGAGGCAAGGCUUUGGGCUUCGGCGGGCUUUGUAGGGUUAGCCGGGCUAUUAGGGAUCAGGAGUUGAGUGUGCUUGUUCUUGUUGUUCGUUUUGCUUCUUUCGGACUGUACGCUUCUUUUUUCUUCUUGUAAACAAACUCUCUUCUUCUUAAUGAAAAACAUACUCAGCACCUUCUAUAAAAAGAGUCCUACUAGCACGCAGCAACUUGAUUAGGAAACACAUAUUCUAGAUACUAAUAUCUUUAAUUCACAUCCUGUCUUAUUAUUUUGGGAGGGGACUCACUCCCGCAUGACGACUUAGACGUCGUGUGCAUUCUAGUUUUGGAUAAUAGUGAUCGUGUUGCUGAUCAUCUCCAAAAGUGCCCAAUAAAAUACUUCUAAUAACUAAUUUUGGAAUGAAGAUGAAAAAACAGUGCUCAUGGAAAAAAUGGUGGAGAUGAAAAAAGUCCCCAGUUACUGUUCAUGGAGGGGGAGGGGGGGUUUGUCAUGUUGGGCUCCCCAAUUACAUCGGACUAAUUUUUUUGGAACGGUUGGUUAGAAGGGUAUUUUUUUUUCCUCCAAUAGUUUUUGGCAAGAUUCCAAAAUCAAAUUUUUGAUAUUUUAUUUAUUAUUAGACACUCUCGGAGAUGCUCUGACCAAAAGCAUAGGGCAAAGACCCAAGACUAACAAAUAUGCCUACACUGAACCACCAAUUUGUUUCAGGGGGUGUUUGGAUACUACGUGCUAAACUUUAGCAGUGUCACAUCAGAUGUUCGGAUGCUAAUUAUAAGGACUAAACAUGAGCUAAUUAUAAAACUAAUUGCACAGAUGGAGUUUAAUUCGCGAGACGAAUCUAUUAAGCCUAAUUAAUUCAUCAUUAGCAAAUGGAAACUGUAGCACCACGUUGUCAAAUCAUGGACUAAUUAGGUUUAAUAGAUUCAUCUCGCGAAUUAGACUCCAUCUGUGCAAUUAGUUUUAUAAUUAAUCUAUAUUUAAUACUUUUAAUUAGUAUCCAAACCUCCUAUACGACGAUGCUAAACUUUAGCACACUACAUCCAAACAGACCCUCGGUCCCGCGUCGCGCCACGCACAUGAUAAACAGGGGUAGUCGAUAUUGUGGCCUCACGAGGACUACUGCUCCUAUCCUAUAUUCCCUACUGGCCCUACAGUCAUCUGCAUAAGAUCCAGACCACAGGUUAUGUCCAAACAUGCAAUCGAAUGAGGUUAUGUGCUAGGAAAUCCCCCGUUUGAAUACAAUAGUUUCUGUGGUAACCUUCAGUUUCUGCAUAAGUUCCAGACCACUUUUGUUUUUCUAAUUCGAUUCCAUGUUUGGACAUCUGGAAUAUUUGGUUGAUACAAUGAGUUGCACCAUAAUUGCACAAGUUCCAAUCACUUCUUUUAUCUUAUAGGUCCAAAAUAUUUACAAGAAAAAGGAACUACGAAUGUUGUUCAGAAUGCAAUGCAGAACUCGAGCAUCCAAAUACAACCGAAUUAGAGAAACAAAAAACGCAAACUACUUGUCCCGCUCAGAUGUAGGCUCAUUGGCAGCACUUCCAAUGUUCUCCCAAAAUUUCUUCCUUUUCUCCACCCACCAGGAGUCAAGAAGUCAGAGACUCCUGAUUCUCUGUUUUCCAUCUCAUCCCAAUGCGAUGGUGACCCAGUCAUGAAAGUUGAUAAUCACUUCAAUUAUGAACUUAUGGUGAACCCAAAAAAGCCAUCUUCGACGCUGCUACACCCACAUCAAGUUGCGUCUAGGGGUUUGUCUGCUGAAUGGCCUUCUCCCCACGGAUAAUCUUUAUAAAAACACAAAGGUAAAAAUGAGACAUCAACAAAAUAUAUCGAACUGGCAAUUUAAUUUAAGUACCUCAUGACCACAGGUUCAUGGAAUCAGAAAUUUUGUUCUAGCUUUUACAUAUUUCAGUGAGCUAUGUCACACGCAAUUAACUGAAUUUAAGGUUAUGAUUGCUAUAUGAACGUAGGGAGUAAGAAAUUUUGCGUACAAAUUUGCCGGGCACGGAGUUCUUGUAGAUAAUGAGCGCAUCUCCUGCCUGAAGGCCAUGUGUCUUCACAAAUUCACCUGACAAAGAGAAUUGAAAUGGAUCAAUCUAUCGAUGUCUGGAUACCUAGGAGUCCACAAAGAAUUUGAAGCUGUAUCCAAAUUCCACACUGAAGCAUACCUGCAGCUUCCAGAAUAUACAUUCUGCUUUUGUUGUUUGGCCAGAAUCUGAAAUAGCAUAUCAUAAGUAUCAGGACACAUUUGAAUUUAGCGACAUUAAAAUGCAUCAGUUUUUGCAUGCCGUGCCUAUUAUGAUGUAAUGAACCCAGAACUCUGUGCCAACUUGACCUCCAAAUUAAGAGCACAAAUUAAUUUAUACAACGCCUUCAACUUCGCAGCUUUUGUCAGGAAAGAAGUUAUGACCUCGGGGUAAGAUGUGUCAUUUCAAAGAUGUCAUAAGACAAUCUAAGAGCAUAUACCUAUACUUAAAUUUCCAUGUAACUGGAAGCACCAUGUCAUCCAUUUGCAGUAUCAAAGGAUCACCUUGCACCAAUGGUGGAAGACUAGCCUCAGCAUCCUUCUGCAAAAGAUUAAGAUAGUUACAUUAUAGGGCAUAGUUGACAGUGCCAUAAUUCUCCAAGAAUAAAAAGGAUAGACAAUUUCAAGCAAUAGAACAUGCCUUGGGUAGCACGAUUCGCCCGACAUUUGCAACAUCACUCUUUGUCAACUCCUUGCGCAAAACGACUUGGUACUCUCCAGAGUUGAAUUUCUGAAAAGGCAUGUUGUCCCCCAUGCAAACAGUGGCACAGGAAGAAAAAUAACUUGUUAACUACAAGAGAAGUAUUAUUUUCCAGCAACAUAUCAAAUGCAGAUUCGGCACAAGAUAUGCGCCAUAGAAGAAAAAACGGACAUAAAAGUGUGUGAUAUGUAUCACGUUACUCACAGUGGUGCAGCUUUCAUGACUAGGCUUUGAUUCAGGAAGAGUGGCAACUGAGUCAGGAUGGACUUCAUCACUGUUUCUAGUGUCCAUUUCAUCACUGUUUGUAACUACUGUAGGCAAAUCCUGUGUGCCACGCAUCGGAGCAGACGUAAAAAUUAGGAAGGGUGAAAUCGCGAAAAUAAUAAAGUUUGUCAUAACCGUGAAGGUUCAUAUCUUUUCUGUACCUCUGAAUUGUCAGCUUCAUUGGCAGAUAUAGAUCCUUCCAUGGGAGACAUGUGGGCGCAUAUGUUUGGUCCAAGGGACAUUGUAGUGAAAGAGUCAAACCCAAGGCUGGAUGCAGAACCUGUUGUUUCAAUAGAAUAUGGAGAGACUGGUGCAUUAGAGUGCAAGAAUUUGGAUGCGCUGACUAUUGCAACACUGACUUCAUUAGUCGGCUCAAACUCAGAGUUAUCGGUUAAUGCUACAGUGGAUUCUGAUAAAUGUAUUGCACAACCACAGACCACAGUCAAUAUUAUAACGACAUAGAAAUAAAGUGCCAGCCUACGUGCUUCUGAUAGGCAGCAGGACAUAAACAGAAGAAAGAAGAGAACUAGUAAUGGCUAUAGGUAAUUAUCUAUGUCUGUGAGCUUGAAAGGAAUGAAAGCGAUACAUGUUUGGUCUGAGUUUGUGAAAGGACUGGAUAUAUGAAGGAACCGGGCAGGGGAUUGUAAUGCUGCUUGUCCCUGAACAAUAGUAGUAGUAGUAGUAGCAGCAGCAGCAGCAGCAAUAGCAACAAGAAGAAUAAGCAGGAGACAGUACCUGAAUCCUUGUCUGGCGGGAUGUGAGUAUGGUGCAGCGGGUGGGAAUUCUCGUCCUGUGGUGCAGCGGGAUAAGAAGUGUAGGGUAGUGCAUUCUUGUUAAGCAUGUAAUGGGUCCAUAGCGCGUAAGACUGGGAGAGGUUGUAGUGGAAGGGUGUGGUGGUGGUGGUAGCGGGGGCGGGCUGCGCAGCAACGGACGCGAAGGCACUGUUGGACGCACUCCAAUCGGAGAAACCUCUUGAAGGCUGGGAGUGGGGAGCAGCAUUGUGCGUGGAGGGUGCUGCUGCUGCUGCAUCAGCUCCUGGCCCUGCAUAUAUAAUAUGGGUAGGGGUGAGAAAGCAAGAAGAUUUUUUUUUUUGAAAUUGAAGAAAAACAAGAAGAAUUAGAAUGCAGAAUUACAUGGAUUCAGUGUUACUAGUAUGUAUCUAUCUGUGAAGGGGAAGCUUGGUUGCUUGCUUGCUUACAGUAUAAGGGAGGGAGAGACUGGGAGAGGCACAAUACAAUACAAUACAAUACAAUAGAAUGCUAAUGGGCGGGUUUGUCCUGCCGCGAAUAAAUUAUAGAUCGGUCACUGGUUCUCUUUUGUUGGUGUACCUCAAUGCAAAAUUAAGCAGCAAGCAGUAUGUACCGACGUCGCCGGAAAGGAGGGAAUUGGUGCCCUAAUCCUGCAAUCCAUCCGUCCCCAUCCCAUGGAAAUGGAAUCGAAGAGGAAGGAAUGCGGCGGAGAGAGAGAGAGAGAGAGAGAGAGAGAGAGAGAGAGAGAGAGAGAGAGAGAGAGAGAGAGAGACUGACCUGCGGCAGGUGCUCCUGGUGGCGCGGGGUGGUGGAGCGGGACGUGGUGGAAGGGGAGGGGAAACGAGGGGUGCAGGCUCUGGUCGGGGUUCUGCACGGCGUUCUAUUAUCCUCAGUUUNNNNNNNNNNNNNNNNNNNNNNNNNNNNNNNNNNNNNNNNNNNNNNNNNNNNNNNNNNNNNNNNNNNNNNNNNNNNNNNNNNNNNNNNNNNNNNNNNNNNAUGUACGUAUGUAUUGUGUAUUGUAGAGAAAAAGGCAGAGAAAGGGGGAAGUAUAGCAAUAGCAAUAGCCAGGCAGGCCGGGGACGAGGGACCACCCCACCCGGCGUUUGGGGUUUUGGGGUUGAGCGUUGGUGCCUUGCGCUGCGCUGCGCUGCCCCGGUCCUGCACUGUCUUCUGCCUCAGCAUCAGCAUCAGGAUUCCGGAGAGGGAGGAAGAGCGCGAGAUGGUGGGGAGGAGGAGCCGCAGCAGGCUGGGGGGAAGGGAUUGUGGGAAGGGGAAUGGAUGGAUGGAUGUGGGAGGCGAGGCGAGGCAGUCACGAGCUCCUCCUCCCCCUCAUCUAGCGCUCUCUCUCUCUCUCUCUCUAUCUGCUGCUGCUGCUGCUGCUGCAGACAGUGCAGGACCGGGGCAGCGCAGCGCAGCGCAAGGCACCAACGCCCAACCCCAAACCCCAAACGCCGGGUGGGGUGGUCCCUCGUCCCCGGCCUGCCUGGCUAUUGCUAUUGCUAUACUUCCCCCUUUCUCUGCCUUUUUCUCUACAUACACAAUACAUACGUACAUACAGUAC
This 65905-nucleotide long non-coding RNA is filed under the name Setaria italica (foxtail millet). RNAcentral describes it as "long non-coding RNA (SITA_LNC004211)". Lineage: Eukaryota; Viridiplantae; Streptophyta; Magnoliopsida; Poales; Poaceae. The record is from RNAcentral.